CCAAUUUCAUUUUCCAACAGCCGCACUCUCUCUCCCUCUCUCUCUACAAUCUCUCUCUAAAACCUUCUCUCCAUCCAUCAAUGGCUGCCGCCGCCGGUUAGCCUCCACGGCUCGCCUCUCGCCGUCCGAACCUUUUUUCUUUCUCUCGUCACCGGCGAACCCCACUGGAUUAGCCUACGAAGCUACCGGAAAACUGGCACCCGUAACCCGACGCCGCCGCUGCUCCGGUCGAACCAACAGUCCUCCCCGUCGCCAGCCGCUACUCCGGUCGAACAACAGCCCUCCCCGUCGCCAGCCGCCACAACAGCAACGGCGACUAACCAAACAGCCCCUCCGACGUCUUUCUCAACAGCCGCCAGCCUCCUCCGCACGGUCAGCCCGAACCAGCAUCGCGACCACCAUAGCUUGUGAACCAUCCGUCACUGUCUUCCGUCGCUGCAACUCCAGCUGGCCGAACCAACCGGAGAAGGCUCCACUUCUCCAUCGCCGAUCAAGCUGCCACAAAUUUAUUCUAUUUUUCCUCACCGGAGGUGAUGACCGGUGAGGUAUUGAUUGGUAACCUCUCCGAUAUUGGCUGAUUUUGGGAAUCAUCACAGGUUCUGCCUUAUCUACUUUUGCUAUUGUUAAUCUUAUAUCUUUCUUUUGUGAUUUGAAAUGGACUAAACUUAAUUGAUGUUCUUGAUUUUGAGGUUUGUGAUUUGGGUUUAUUGACAUGUUUAGGUUCUCACAUAGUUGGUGACCCUUACUUUUAUCCUCAAAAUUUAAAAUAAGUGGCCGAUUGUUUUUUAAUUCUUAAAUCAUUAUUCUUGUUUUCGAAUUGUGUUCUUUUUGAUUUGCUUAACAUUGAUGGAAAAUUUGUUUCAUAACUUACAACUAUACACUUAGCGUUUGUAACAGAAAUGGUUGAUUUCAUUUUUUCAUUCUUGACUGAAUAUUAUGGAACUGAUUGAGUAUGUAAUUUUGAUGAUUUGAGUUGAUUUAUAAUGGAGUUACUGUGAUUAAGGAAUCUCUUUCCUGAUUAAUUGCUUUUUACAUUUUAAAUGACCAGUUGUAUUCCUUAUAAUUUUUUCAUAUCUAUUUAAGGUAAAUUAGACAAAUUUUCACUUCCUAAUUGAUUAUUGAUUGAUUCUAAAAUAUUUUUCCCUUCAUUUUUUCCUUGAUUGAUUCGGUUGGUUUAUUUAUUUAAGGAAUAUAUAUAUUAUUUUUCCUUUUAUUCUCUUGGGCUGAAUUUUACAUAAUUGAUUAUAUCAUUUGUUUAAGAAAAAUAAUCUCCUUGAUUGAGUAAUCAAAUAUUCCCUUUCAUUUAAUCAUACACCAUUCUAUGCCUGUAAAAACAAACCCUCCUCAUUUUGGAGAAACAAGUUACAACACACGACAUAAUUUUCUCUUACUAAAAGCUUAAAAUAAAGAAGACGCAAAUUUACUUUUUUAUUUUUUGCGCUCAUUUCUGGAGCAUUAAUAUUGAUCUUUCGGUGGCAAUCCAUUCUCGAAUCUUUGGCUGUUUGACGUUAUUUUCUUUUAUACCUUAUAUGAUGAUGCUAGUAAACAUGCUUAUAGGAAUCAUUUGGUAUUUUCUUGCUAUGUCUGUGUCAUGUUCUAUUCCCGCUUGUAUUGCUAUUAGUCUCGGCUAUUUGAAGAAUUGCUGAAAGUUCACGGGGGAGAGCUGCACCUUUUCUUUCUUUGUUUAUUUAUUUGUUUUUUAUUCAUGGUGUUAUAAUAACUCAGUAUAAAUGUUAUUAUUUUGUAAUAAUAAAAUUUGGGGACUGCUUCGGGAGGUGGGGACUUACGUGUUCUAUGAAUAGUAUAGAUAGGCACGACUUAGAUUUUACGUAUGUUACGUGCUAAGUGGAUCAAGUUAGGCACACAAAUCUAGGAUUUAUUAAUACAUGUAUCACUUUGACAUUUAAUCUACUUAUUAAUUCGAUUAGAAAUCUUGAUUUAAGGAUUAAAAUGACAUCCGUCAUGCUAAAUUAAAUUCAUGCAUAUUAAUAUAUUUUUAUCAUGUUAAACAUUUGAAUUUUGCAUGUCAUUGUAUGUUUAGCAUGUUAAUACGAAUUUAAGCAUAUUGGUGUUUUUGAGCAUGUCAACAAUUAAAUUUUCACAUAUUAAUACAUUUUAUCAUUUUUAGCAUGUUAAACAUUAAAAUUAAUUAUGUCGUCUAGUAUGUUAACACAAAUCUAAGCAUGUUAAUAUUUUAGAGCAUGUUACAUAAAGUUUGUGUGCAUCAAUAUAUUCUUCAGCGUGUUAAAAUCGCAUAUCUGCAUAAAACAAUUAAAUUUCAGCAUGUUAAAAUUACAUUUUUGCAUAAAACAAUUAAUUACCAGCAUGUUUAAACAUUAAUUAAAGCAUUUUCAGCAUAUUAAAUAGUGGAUUAAGUAUGUCAUUGUAUUUUUUGGCCUAUUAAUGCAAUUUCAGCAUGUUAACAUGAAAUUACUGUGCAUUAGCAUAAUUUUUAGCAUGUUAAAAUAUUGAUUUUAGGUAUUUUUAGCAUGUUAUUGCAUUUUUCAGCAUAUUAAUAUGAAAUUUCUGCACUAUUAGAAUAAUUGUCAAUAUGUUAAAAUGUAGGUUUUUGUUUAGCAUUUUCAACAUGUUAAACACUAGUCUAAGUACUUCAUUGCGUUCCUUAGCAUGUUAAUGCUCUUUCAAUGUUUUGUUAUAUUCUCUUUAGUUUUAUAACACUUGCAUAAUGAAAUUCGUGAGCAUAAUUUUUUGACACAUUUACCACACUUUUGACACCCUCUUUUAACAACUUGAUAACGUAUUGUUACAUACACAAAUCACAGUUACCUUUUAUUGUAUUAAUCAAUUGUUGAACACUUAGAUAUCAUGCCCAUAGGUUAAAGACACAAAAAAAUAUUCGUCUUUACAUAUUUAUCACAUUGAUCAACUCUUUAAUAAUCAAGGGGCUAACGUGAGACAUUACUUGCUACUUGACGUCCAAUGUGUUAUGCAUUUUGAGUCCUAAGCAACAUAAUUUUAUUUUGUUUAGACCACAAAUCAAAAAUUGCAAAGUUCAAUGCCUCUUGGACGAUAUAGACGGGACGAUAGGAAUUACUAAAAAUGUUAGUUUUAUCCUUGUACUAGAACGCCGACUGUUAGUCAUUCGGAGGUGAUGAUCUCCAACCUACAUUAAAGGUAAGACAUAUAUGACUUGUCUAAGAGUUGGUCAGUGGAUCAGAUGAUGAUUAAACAAGUUCGGGUUCUGACCCGAAUGAGACCAAAACAUUUCUUUGUUUGAUUUGACGAAUUCUUUUUAUUCUUUUGUUUACCUUACAUGCUUAUUUAUUUGGGGUAAUUAGUUUGUUAUCUACACAGCCUUCUUUUGUUAUAAAUUAUGUCAUUUCUUUCUCCUCGCUUAUCUUAUUAUAUGUUUUUAUCACUUAGAUAAUUAACAAUUAGAAAUAAUAAAAUAAUAUAUUUGGUUCAUUAAUUGUUUUAUCACUUAGUUAAACAUUAAGUUAAUAAUAAAACUAGAGACUUUUAUUUGAUCACAUAAAGUCCCCACGUAAAAUAUGAAUUCGAUCGGGAACCAUCUUUGUGGACCUCGAAAGGUGCCUAACACCUUUCUUUCGAGAUAAUUUAAACCCUUACUCAAAUUUUUGGUGAACUAAGACAAUAACAAAAUAGGUUCGUAAUAGCCUAGACCGAUGCCCUAACACACCUUAAUUCGUUAGGUGGCGACUCUUCACACUCUACCCUCAAAACAAUCCCAAAAAGACUGGUCACAUCGAAUUCCACUUUCCGCGAGGAAAAUGGGAUGAGAUAGGAUGGCGACUCCAUUGGGGACCUUAGGUUCUAACCAUUACGAAUUUGUGUUUUAUGUGGGAUUCUACUACUUUCUUUGUUUUAUUGUUCUAUAAUUACUUUACCGUUUUUUUUAAUUGUUUAUAUCAUGAUUAAUAUAUACAUGUUAGUCCCUUCUCCUUUCCCUUUAUGUGUUAUUUACAUUUCUCCAUGUCUAUCCCUUUCCCCUUUCCUCUUUUAUUGUUAUGUGUUAUCAUGUUUAUUUAUAUAUAUACUGUUUAGCAUGUUACAUUUUGCUAUGUGCUAUGUGUUACUGCUUUAUAUAAUUGACAUUCCAUUCAUACUCUCCUCCACUUGAAAACUUUUUUUUGUUUUCUUUUUUACGAAUGGUUGCAUGAAUACACAGAUGUUUUUUCCUAAAACACCCUUCAGAAAAUGUCUUGUGGAUCGGUCGAUCAGCGGUGCGUUGACAGUCACAAGCUCUCCCACUCUCGAGUUGUCCACCCGAGGGAACCAUGUCAUGAAUCCACUCUUAUCCUUUAGGUCUUGGCUACAUAUUUCCUUCACUAAGGAUUAUGCGUCCCAUUCAACGUAGGAUGCCUUGACAUCCUUGACGCGUUGAAUGUUAGUCUCAUUCAAAGUCCAAAGAGGUUCACGACCUCAAAGGGACUCACAAUUAUUUGCUAUGUGUUGCAUUUCUAUGUAUGUAUUGAUAUUUUGCCUAUCUUGUUGUUUCCGUUUUUGCCUUAGUCACUCCUUACAUUAGUGUGCCUCACUUAAUAAUUCUUUACUCUUCAAAUUCUUAUCAUGUUAGGACCCUGCAAUACACUCUUAGGGCCUAUUCAAAAGCCUCAAAUUCAUCCCCAUUUGCUAUUCGACUUCUACAACUCUCAAAAUUUUGAACUACGUCUGACUUGAUUCUUGUUCCAACAAGAUAUGUAGGCAAUCCUUUGUAAGGAUGCAGUCUUCCUUUUUCCUUUCAUUUACAAAACGUCCUAAUAUUUGAAAAUGUGAAACAAUCAUUAUCAUUCCAACAAUUCUUCUAUCAAAUCAUAUUCUCCAUAUCUUUCACCUUUCCAUAAUGUCAUAAGGGUGCAACUUAGAAAUUUUUUAUUUAAAUGACUUUUCACAAUCUUUCAAACUCUCAAACAUUUCAAACUAAAUACUUUAAAAUGUUCAACUUUGUCAAUCUUCAAUUCUCUCAUUUAUUCAAAACAAUUUCUUUAAAUAUUGUAUCUCUACAAUAUAUUAUCAUUAUUCACUUGUUCACUCAAUUAGCUUCAAGUAUGAAUUUAGUAUCUAAGUCAUUGUUAGAAUCUAUCUUUCAUCCUGUGAUAUCAAUUCAUUUUUUAAGCUUAAAGUUCUAGCCCACCCAUUCGUCCUAAAGUCCUCCUUGACAAAAUGACUCAUAUCGACAUACUAUCUCUUUUCUCAUUGAGCACGCUGAUACUUAUUUUGUUUAGCUUACUAUUUAAAGGUUGUCUAGAAUUUGAACAUCAGCUCGAUUGAAAAUCUGCAAUGUGACAAAUAUGCUCAAUAUUCGGAAAGAUUACAUCCCUUUUUUCUGUCACUCAAGGCGAAACAUUGUUUAGACCGAACCUUUUUAUUCUCGCGUUAUUCAUAUACCCUCUCAAAAAUUUCCUUCUACAUUCACCAAUCUUGAAAAUGGGAGACACCGUUAGUCUUGAAAAUAGGAGACACUGUUAGUCUCCAUUUAUCCGCCUUAUGACUAAAUAACAUUUUCUAUCUUAUCUACUUUCUUUUUACUCAAGAACUUCGUUCGACUUGACUUUCAUUCGGAGGCAGCCCACUCUGGGUCUGGUCUUAAUCUAAUAAAAUAUUUUCUCUCCCCACUUUCUUUCAAUUCUUACAAUUCCAAAUCGACAAGCUAAUAGACCUAACUCUUGAGCAUAUAAAGGCAGAUUACAAUUGAGGUUACAAUAUUCAAAUAUAGGACGACUAUUUCUCUUGGACUAAUAUUUUCUUUAAGCAGUACAGGAAUAUAAGACUCUAAAGGCCAAAAUUGGGGCAGAAUUUUUGAGGUUUCAAAGAAACCUCAAAAAUUUCACAAGUAAACAAUAUAUCAAUGACGUCUAAAAGUGCCUUUCAUUCUAAACUGGGGCAGAAAUUUUUGAGAAUUUCUCAAAAAUUUCACCAUGAUGAAGUACAAGUCCUAACGGUCUAUGAAGCAGAAACAACGACCAAAGAGUCCAAUCGAGCAAGGAUUAAUGGGUACAAAUGACAACAAUCACUCCAUUACGAGAGACCCGAUGGCUAAUUAAACAUCAUGCUGAGAAGCCUCACAAUUGACCCAUCACUACAACAGAUACGCUUUCUUAUCUUAUCUUUAUUGUUAUGGUUAUUUUCACUACAUUGUUCAGCCUCCUCUACAUACAUGUAUAUAUCCUUUUAUCCAGUUGAGCUGAAAGUGGCAGGACCAACAGGUACGGAUGACGAUCCAACGUCAUAUCGAGAGGCCAAAUAGCUGAUCUAACGAUACAUCGAGAGGUUCAACAGCCGAUCCAACGUCAUAUCGAAAAGCCAAAUUGCUAAUCCAAUGAUACAUCGAGAGGUUCAACAUCCGAUCCAAUGUCAUAUCGAGAAGCCAAAUAGCUGAUCUAGUAAUACAUCGAGAGGUUCAACAACUGAUCCAAUGCUAUAUUGAGAAGCUAAACAGCAGAUCCAACGAUACAUCGAGAGGUUCAACAUCUGAUCCAAUGUCAUAUCGAGAAGCCAAACAGCUAAUCCACCGAUACAUCGAGAGGUUCAACAUCUGAUCCAACGUCAUAUCGAGAAGCCAAACAAUUGAUCCAACAUCACAUCAAGAAGUCAAACAGCUGAUUCAAUAAGACAACAGAUACGCCUUUUUUAUUUCCACAUUCACUUUAGGUUUAUCAAUUGUUUAUUUCUUAUAUGCCUAAUCUUUGUUAUUUAGUACGAUGUAAAGACACAGGUAACAAAGAAGGAAUAACAAACAAAGAUAAUUUUCGUUUCUGUUUUUGAAGUAUUACCCCAUCUAUGCAUUAAUCGCCUAAACUAAUCCUAAAACACACUUACCUCAACAUUUUCAAACUACUUCACAUCAUUGUUUCCAAAAUUCAUUCUCAUCCCACCAACCCACGAUAUCAUUGUUGACGCCCCUACCCUCUAUCCUUAACAUUCUUUAGGAAUAUUGUCCGUUCCUAAAUCUAGAACUACACGCGGGUUGAUUCUCAUAAAAUCAGAGAUAUGUAGGCGACUUAAUGCCAAAUUCUCGGCCACACUAUUUUUUAAACACUUUUCAUUGCUUUCUUCCUAACAAACCGUCAUCUCGGUCGGACAAAAUUGGCUACUACGUCAACUUUCAUUGCAUGACAUUUCUUUCAUCAUGCUCAAGCAACGUAGGGAAGCUGUUGACACCCAAUUUUGCCCCUCCCUAUCCCCCAUACCCCAUUAGGCUGCUAUUUUAUCAAAAAUAUUUUUUUCAAAUAUUAACAUUUUUUUGCAUCAAACAGAUUUCUGACGUGUCACAUUAAUGAUUUAAAAAUGUACAAAUUAUUUUAUUAACUUUGGUAUCAUUUUUUACAAUUCAGAUACAAUAUUUUAUGUAAUUUUAUCAAUAUUUAUUAAAUUAUUUUUUUCACAAAUAUGCACACCCAUCAUUUACAAAUACAUUGUCUAGUUGUAUUAUUAUUAUUAUUAAUAAUAAUAAUAAUAAUAAUAAUAAUAAUAAUAAUAAUAAUAAUUUUAUAUAAUAAUUUUACAUAACAUUAAUUUAUAUAUGCUUACUUUAUUUUUAAACUUCUUAUUUAAUUAACAACCUAAUUUAAAUAAAUAUUUUCUAAUUUAUUUAAAUUCUAGCCUUUUGUCCAAUUUAUAGCAAUCUUAGCCUGACUCCACAUAAUUUAUUACAGUUCUAGCCUAAUUUGUGUCUAUUUGAACUCAAUUGUAAUUUUUUAUUCAAUUCGGACCAGAUUCUUAAUUUUUAAAUCUCAGCCGUUGAUCAGAAGUGAUCUAACGGCUGAGAUCAAGCUCUUGCCUCCUUUCCUUUUAUACACAAAGAAAGGAACCGUAAUUCAUUUUCCAACAGCCACACUUUCUCUCCCUCUCUCUCUACAAUCUCUCUCUCUCUCUCUAAGACCUUCUCUCCAUCUAUAAAUGGCUGCAACUGCCAGUCAGCCUCCACGGCUCGCCUCUCACCGUCCACCCUCCAGACCUCUUUUCUCUCUCUCCUUCACCGGCAAACCCCGCUGGAUUAGCCAAUGAAGCUACCGCAAAAUUGGCGCCCGUAACCCGCCGCCGCCGCUGCUUCGGUCGAACCAACAGCCCUCCCCGUUGCAGCCGCUACUCCGGUCGAACCAACAGCCCUCCCCAUCUCUAGCCGCCACAAAAGCAACGACGACUAACCAAACAGCCCCUCCGGCGUCUAUCUCAACAGCCACCAGCCUCCUCCUCCGCACGGUCAGCCAAUCAGCACUGCGACCACCAUGGCUGGUGAACCAGCCGUCAUUGCAUUCCGUCGCCGCAACUCCAGCCGGCCGGACCAAUCGGAGAAGGCUCCACUUCUCCAUCGCCGAUCAAGCAGCCACGAGUUUAUUCUAUUUUGCUCACCGGAGGUGAUGACCGGUGAGGUAUUGAUUGGUAACCUCUCCGAUAUUGGCUGAUUUUAGGAAUCAUCAUAGGUUCUGCCUUGAUUGAUGUUUGUGAUUUAGAUUUAUUGACAUGUUUAGGUUCUCAUAUAGUUGGUGACCCUUACUUUUGUCCUCGAAAUUUAAAAUAAGUGGCCGGUUGUUUUUCAAUUCUUAAAUCAUUAUUCUUGUUUACGAAUUGUGUCCUUUUUGAUUUGCUUAACAUUGAUGGAAAAUUUGUUUCAUAACUUACAAUUAUACACUUAGCGUUUGUAACAAAAAUAGUUGAUUUCAUUUUUUCAUUCUUGACUGAAUAUUUUGAAACUGAUUGAGUAUGCAAUUUUGAUGAUUUGAAUUGAUUUAUGCAUAAUGGAGUUACUGUGAUUAAGGAAUCUCUUUCCUGAUUAAUUGCUUUUUACAUUUUAAAUGACCAGCUGUAUUCCUUAUAAUUUUUUCAUAUCUAUUUGAGGCAAGUUAGACAAAUUUUCAUUUCCUAAUUGAUUAUUGAUUGAUUCUGAAAUAUUUUUCCCUUUAUUUUUUCCUUGAUUGAUUUGGUUGGUUUAUUUAUUUAAGGAAUACAUAUAUAUAUGUUUAUUUUUCCUUUUAUUCUCAUGGGCUGAAUUUUACAUAAUUGAUUAUAUCAUUUGUUUAAGAAAAAUAAUCUCCUUUAUUGACUUAUCAAAUAUUCCCUUUCAUUUAAUCAUACACCAUUCUAUGCCUAUAAAAACAACCCCUCCUCAUUUUGGAGAAACAAGUUACAACACACAACAUACAUUUUCUCUUACUAAAAUCUUAAAAUAAAGAAGCGGUAAUUUUAUUUUAUUAUUCUUGGCACUCGUUUCUGGAGCAUUAAUAUUGACCUAUCGGUGGCAAUUAAUUCUCGGAUCUCUGGCUGUUUAUUUUUUUGUUAUUAUUAUUAUCUGUUAUCAUCAACAAUCAGUCCCUGACAACGUAAUUUUCUUUUAUACCUUAUAUGAUGAUGCUAGUAAACAUGCUUAUAGGAAUCAUUUGGUGUUUUCUUGCUAUGUUUAUGUCAUGUUAUAUUCCCACUUGUAUUGCUAUUAUGUAUUGUCUCACAGGUAUAAAUAGACAGUCUCGGGUAUUUGAAGAGUCGCCGAAAAGUUUAUGGGGGAGGGCUGCACCUUUUCUUUCUUUGUUCAUUUAUUUAUUUUUGAUUCAUGGUGUUGUAAUAACUCUGUAUAAACACUAUUAUUUUGUAAUAAUAAAAUUUGGGGAUUGCUUCGGGGGGCAGGGACUUACGUGCUCUAUGAAUAGUGUAGAUAGGCACAACUUAGAUUUUACGUGUGUUAUGUGCUACGUGGAUCAAGUUAGGCACACAAAUCUAGGAUUUAUUAAUACAUUAAUCACUUAGACAUUUAAUCUACUUAUUAAUUCGAUUAGAAAUCUUGAUUUUAGGAUUAAACUGACAUCUGCAAUGCUAAAUUAAAUUCAUGCAUAUUAAUACAUUUUUAGCAUGUUAAGCAUUUGAAUUAAGUAUGCCACUGUAUGUUUAGCAUGUUAGCAAGAAUUUAAGCAUAUUGGUAUUUUUGAGCAUGUCAGCAAUUAAAUUUCACAUAUUAAUACAUUUUAUCAUUUUUAGCAUGUUAAACAUUAAAAUUAAUUAUGUUGUCUAGCAUGUUAACACAAAUCUAAGCAUGUUAAUAUUUUAGAGCAUGUUAACAUAAAAUUCCUGCAAAUUAAUAUAUUUUAUAACGUGUUAAAAUCGUGUUUCUGCAUAAAACAAUUAAAAUCCGGCAUGUUAAAACUGCAUUUUUGCAUAAAAUAAUUAAUUAACAGCAUGUUUAAAAAUUAAUUAAAGCAAUUUCAAUAUAUUAAAUAGUGGAUUAAGUAUGUCAUUGUAAUUUUUGGCCUAUUAAUGCAAUUUCUGCAUGUUAUCAUGAAAUUACAGCGCAUUAGCAUAAUUUUCAGCAUGUUAAAAUAUCAAAAAAAAAUAAUUAUUUAUCUUUGCAUAUUUAUCAUAUUAAUCAACUCUUUAAUUACCAAGGGGCUAACGUGAUACAUUACUUGCUACUUGACGUCCAAUGUGUUACGCGUUUUGAGUCCUAAGCAACAUAACUUUAUUUUGGCUAGACUAUAAAUUCAAAAUAGAAAAGUCCAAUGCCUCUUGGACGAUAGGCGAGACGAUAGAAAUUACUAAAAAUGUUAGUUUUAUCCUUGUACUAGAACGCCUUUAGAUUUGACAUCCAGCCUAGGAGGGGUGGGACGGGUAGUCAUUCGAAAGUGAUGAUCUCCAACCGACAUUAAAGGUAAGACAUAUGACUUGUUUAUGAGUUCGGCCAGUAGGUCGGAUGAUGAUUAAACAAGUUAGGGUUCUUAUCCGAAUGAGACCAAGACAUUUCUUUGUUUGAUUUGACAAAUUCUUUUUAUUUGCUUAUUUACCUUACAUGCUUAUUUAUUUGGGCUAAUUAGUUUGUUAUAUAAGCAAUCCUCUUUUGUUAUAAAUUAUGUCAUUUCUUUCUCCUCGCUUAUCUUAUUUUAUGUUUUUAUCACUUAGAUAAUUAACAAUUAGAAAUAAUAAAAUAAUAUGUUUGGUUCAUUAAUUGUUUUAUCACUUAGUUAAACAUUAAGUUAAUAAUAAACAAAAGACUUUGAUCACAUAGAAUCCCCGCGUAAAAUACAAAUUUGGCCGGGAACUACCUUUUUGGACCUCACAAGGUGCCUAACACUUUCCUUUUGAGGUAAUUUGAACUCUUAUCAGAAUUUUUAGUGAACUAAGAUAAAACAAAAAAAAUAUGUUCGUAGUAGCCUAGAACGUUGCUCUAACGCAUCUUAAUUCGUUAGGUGGUGACUCUUCAUACUCUACCCUUAAAAUAAUUUCAAAAAGAGUGGUCACGUCGAAUUCUGCAAAGAAAAUAGGGCGCGAUAAAGAGUCGAGUGAGGCCCUGUUGAGCUUCCUGUCUAUGGCUCUGUCAUUACAUCAAAAUGAGAAUUGCAAGUUAAAAACAUAAAGAAAACUACAAAAGUCCUAUCUAUGCAGCUUUCCUUGACUUUGACUUAUUAUUUCAUCACCCUAUUCUUUAGGCGGUUCCUAACAUGCAAUUUCUUUACCCCGUUCUCCAGGCGGGCUCCUGACUUGCAAUUUCUUCAACUUGUUGCUUUGUUUUUAAUUUCUUCACCCUAUUCUUUGUGCGGUCUCCUGAGUUGCUAUUUUUCAAUCUGUUGACUUUCAAUUUCUUUACCUUAUUGCUUGACUUUCAACUUUUUUCCUUGUUGCUUGACUUUCAUUUAUUCACCCUGUUCUUUGAGCGGGCUCCUGAAAUCACAUCAAAACUAGAAAGAAAAUUAUCCUAAACAAAUGUUAUUAUAAAGAGAGAUUCCAUUUGUCAGAAAAGUAAAGUUCCUAAAACAGAAAUUAAAUUUUUGCCCUAGUUUAUCAUCAAAAAACUUUUGCGAAUGUCAAAUCCAAUCAUAACUACUUGCAUGUUGCAAUGAUAAAUCAAGACUCUGACCAGAAAAUGCAUCUUUUGAGAUUAAAAUUAAAUGACCAAGACUAGGAAGUGCAUCUCCUAAGAAUUGAAGUGAGGAAUUUUGACUAGAAAGUGCAUCUACUAGAGAUGAAGGUUUAAGUUAGGAUGUACAUCACCUAACAAGUAAAAUUCGAAUUACCCAAUCAAGGAAGUGUGUUUCCUUACCAAUGCCUCUUGAAUUACCAAAACAAGUGUGUCUCCUUACCAAUGCCGCUUGAAUUACCCAAAUAAAGAAGUGCAUCUCCUUACAAAUGCCGCUUGAAUUACUAAAACAUGGAAGUGUGUCUCCUUACAAAUGUCACUUGAAUUAUCUAGACAAGGAAGUGCGUCUCCUUACAAAUGCCACUUGAAUUACCCAGAAAAGGGAAUGCGUCUCCUUACAAAUGCUGCUUAAAUUAUCCAGACAAGGAAAUGCGUCUCCAUACAAAUGUCGCUUGAAUUAGCUAAACAAGAAAAUGCGUCUCCUUACAAAUACCGCUUAAAUUAUCCAGACAUGGAAGUGCGUCUUCUUACAAAUGUUGCUUGAAUUACCCAGAUAAGAAAAUGCAUCUCCUUACAAAUGAUGCUUAAAUUAUCCAGAUAAGAAAAUGCGUCUCCUUACAAAUGCCUCUUGAAUUACCCAAACAAGGAAAUGUGUCUCCUUACAAAUACCGCUUAAAUUAUCCAAACAAGAAAAUGUGUCUCCUUACAAAUGCCACUUAAAUUAUUUAGACAAGGAAAUGUGUCUCCAUACAAAUGACACUUGAAUUACCUAGACAAGAAAAUGCUUCUCCUUACAAUUGCCACUUGAAUUACUUAAAUAAGGAAGUGUGUCUUCUUACAAAUGCCGCUUGAAUUACCCAAACGAGAAAGUGCUUCUCCUUACAAAUGCCGCUUGAAUUACCCAAACAAAGAAAUGCGUCUUCCAAUAAAUGCCUCUUGAAUUACCCAAAAAAGGAAGUUCGUUUCCUUACAAAUGUUGCUUGAAUUACCAAAAUAAGGAAGUGCAUCUCCUUACAAAUGUUUCUUGAAUUAUCCAAACAAGGAAGUGUAUCUCCUUAUAAAUGUCGCUUGAAUUACCCAAACAAGGAAGUGUGUCUCCUUACAAAUGUUGCCUGAAUUAUCAAAACAAGGAAGUGCGUCUCCUUAUAAAUGUUUCUUGAAUUACAAAAAUAAGGAAGUAUGUCUCCUUACAAAUGUUGCUUGAAUUACCAAAAUAAGAAAGUACGUCUUCUUACAAAUGUUGCUUGAAUUAUCCAAACAAGGAAGUACAUCUUCCUACAAAUAUCGCUUGAAUUACCCAAACAAGGAAGUACGUCUCCUUACAAUUGUUGCUUGAAUUACCAAAACAAAAAAUUACGUCUCCUUAUAAAUGUUGCUUGAAUUAUCCAAAAAAAAAGUGCGUCUCCUUACAAAUGUUGCUUGAAUUACCCAAACAAGGAAGUGCGUCUCCUUACAAAUGCCACUAGAAUUAUCCAAGAAAAUGCAUCUCUUAGGGGAUAACUACUUAACUUGAAAGUAGCUUUUCUAGGAGUAAAGGCUUAAGUUAGAAAGUGAACCACCCAACAAGCGAAACUUGAAUACCCACCAAGGAAGUGUGUCUCCUAAGGUUCAAGUCGAAUGACUCAACUAGAAAGUGCGACUUCUAGGGGUGAAGGUUCAAUUUAGGAAGUGCAUUACCUAAUAAAUAAACCUGAAUUACCCAAAGAUUUACCGUGUUUUUAAUCACCAAACCUGUGCAGCAAUAUUGCCUCUUGCAUUUGUAGAAGUGAGAAAUUACGGCCUUUGAUGUUUAGGCUUAGAAAUCAUUGAUUUGAAGAUAACAUAUGUUCCUGUUUCAUACAAAGAAAAAUUAUGAUUUUAAAAAUAUGGUGGUUGGUUUGUGCCUUUAGCUUUCGCGGCAAUCGCUCUUGCCCCCGUCACAUUUAACCUUGCUUCCAACCAUUAACAUAUGUCAUUGACUUGCUGAAUCAUUGACCUAAACUUAGAUUAUUAAGAGUGAGUCUAAAAUAAACACAACAUCUCUGCUUUGCCAUGCUUCUCAGAUAAACCUUUUGAACCUUGGUAUUUUCAUAAGUUCCCAGACUUGUCUGUUGACAAAACUUUUUGAAUGCCUUAUUUGGGCUCACAAUCAUGUAGCUUUCAUGUGUAGGCCUUUUGUCUUGAUUUGUGCAAUUGAAAAAGCUGGUAGCCAGUUUUGAAAUCUUUUCUCACUUAUUUUGACAUGGACUUGACUCAAAGACAAGAGAAAAAAUGACUGAUUUUUUAUUUGGAUAAUUAACUCAAGAAAAUAAAAUAAAAAGAAGAAAGAAAGUACAAUGAAUGUCCCCAUUUGAAAUAAAGAAAUAAAAAAUUUAUCUAAAAAAAACAGUCAACUCUCAUGAUUAUGCCAUGCAUUUUGGAUUAAGCUGCCUGAUCUUUCCAUCCGAACUUUCUACCAAUUGUUGUUGAGUUAAUAGCCUUGAAACUGAGUUUAUUCGUUAGGUCAAUUGCAUUUAAGACCUCAUUUGGCUAGUGGUGCCUUGAAGGGUUUUCACCAACAAGCCUCUUUCAUUUUCUUUUUCUCAGCUCACCAUUGCCUUGUGGUGUCCAUGAGGGUUUUUCACCAAUGAGACUCUUAUUUUCAUUUUUCUCAACUCAUCGUUGUCUUACAGUGCCCAUGAGGGUUUUCACUGAUAAGACUCUCUCAACUUACCAUCGUUUUACGGUGCCAUAAGGGUUUUCACCAAUAAGACUCUCUCAUUUUUAUUUCUCUCCUGAUUCUUUAUGCUGAGGAAGAUGAGUAGUUCCUAAAAUACAUUAUCAUAUACAUUGCAUGUUAAGACUUAUCAUUUUCAAAGAUUGAUCUAAAAGUCUUUCUUUGGUUGUAACUUGACUUUUGGAUAAGGUUAGAAAGAAAGGACGGCAUGAAACUCAAACGACACUUGAAGUGGGGUGGGACUUACAACUUUUGGAAUUGACUCAAACAACAAAAAUUAACUCAUGCCUCAAUUUCUUUUGACUGGGUAACGCUAAAUUGUUUAUUUGGUCGGACCUAGCCCAGAGUAGGGCAACCUACGUAUCUCACCCCCGAGAGAGGAAAAUUAGGUCAUGUGUAGUUCUGACAACUAGUUCUUUUGCUUGAUUAUGAUUUUUUCUCCCUUUUUUUCUGACUCUUUAUUUUGGACCUUUUUCUGGCUUUAUUUUUCUUGACACUCUUCUUUUUCUUUCUUUUUGACAUAUUUUUUCUGAUUCUAUUCUUUUGCUUGACACUUUUCUUAUGAACUUUCCUGACUCUUAUCUUGAUUCCACAAGAGGGGUAUGAAAGAAAAUAGAACUAAAGCUCAAACAGGGUUCACAAAGAAUGACACAAUGAUUAGAUAGCUGAAUGAAAUGCCUCUGUAAUAUUAAUCCUUGAAAAUGCAAGUACAUAUCAUGUAAUUUGAAAGUGAAAGAUGGAGAUCAUUUGUGAUAUUUUUACAGAACUAACUUUAACUGAAUUUGUGCAUCACUACUCUUGCACUUUGUUCAAUAUACCAUUCCAUUUUUGUUGUACAUUCCUUAUGCUGAAAGACUCAUGACUUCGUGGUGCUGAUUUUUUUUUAAUUCCUUUUGACAUAGGAUCGCGCAUUCACUAUUUGACCUAAUUGAGAAAUGUUCUUCAAUUGAUGACCAAGUUAUUCUUAUGAUUCUUAAAAUAAUUGCCUUGAUUUUUAAAGAAGGCUUCAACUUGACCACCAAAUGCCUCAACACUCUAUCUAUUUUCUCAGGUACUCUCUUUUUCUAACAUUAAUCCUCUGACUCAAUGUUUCAUGAUUAAACUAGAUUUUAAGAUCUGGCUAAAAAUUCUGCUAGCAUGUCAUAUCACUAGAAUCAACAUAAAAUAUACUGUGUAAACAAAACAAAUAAACAACACAUAUUUAAAACACCAAGGUAAAGGGAUACUUCAUUUAGUUAAAAUAAAAGAUAGAAAUGUUUAAACAUAAACGACAAAGAAACAAAACAAGAUAGAUUCCGAACUACAACCCUGAGAUAAUUUGGAAAACAGAAAGAAAAAUAAAAUAAACUACCAACAACUCUUCCUGGUAAGGAGAGGAGUGACUUCCCAAUUACUGAGCUUGACAUCAUAGCCACAGAUUUGCAUAUCAUCAUGACUAGAGCUUUUACCACUUUCAAUGUUUUGCACCACAAUCAAUUUAUCUUGAAUUAUCUUCUUAAUUUCUCUUUUCAAAUCUCGAUAAUCUUUAAUACUAUAACCCUGAGCAUCAUAAUGAUACGCACAUCAUACAUUGGGAUCAAAAUUUCUUGAAUGCGGAUUAAGAGUGUGCCCAAGAAGUGGAGUGAUCAUGCCCCAUUUUACUAAUCUCUCGAAUAGACUGGCAUACGAUUCUCCAAUUAGUGUGAAACUAUCUCUAGGCUUCUGCCUCUUCUCAUUAUUUGACUUGGAUCGAAGCUCGUACCUAGAAGGGCUUUGAUAUGUUUGUGGAGUUGGAGGGUGAAUUUGAGACAUUGGUGCGUGCCAUUGUGAGUAAGAAGGGAGUUGAAGAUAUGGUUGCGCGCAGUGUACUAGAUAUGGAGGUGGGGAGAUAAGAGUAUAAUGGAUUUUGAGAGUGAUUAUAUAGAGAUUGGCAAUGAACUUGGGCUUGAGACUAAGGAUAACGACGACGUGGUAUUCUUGGACUCACUCGUUUUCCAACUAUAAUAGCAGCUGCAUCUUCCUUAUUCUUCUUCCCUCCAAUUUUCUUUAAUUGAUUGCAAUAUUGUCCCAAAUAUUUUACAGAUUCCUCAUGUCCAUCUUGCUCCUCAAAUUUUGAUAUCUCAAGGAUUAGAGGAAGGUUAACACUAAAAGACAUGUUCUGGUUUUUAUAUGAAACAUCUUCUUUACCCAUCAGUCCUAGGAAAUUUUUCAUAGCAUUUUAUGCACUAUUCAUUUUUUCAACCAUUUUCUCUUGCUAUUCAAGAACGCUAGGCUACUUGUUAAGAAAUUUUGGUGGUCCAAUUAACUUAAAAGUAGGCUCAGGAGUAUAACAAUAUCACCAAGAGUAUUGAACAUGAGUCAACUAGCAGCAUGGGAAAGCACAACCGAUAGACAGCUAGCCAAUGUGGAUGUCCCAGCAAAGGAUUGAGCAACAAAAUCAUAAACGAUAUAUAGUGUUGUGAAUGUAGUAGGAUUAUGCUGAGGAUCUAGAGAAAGAGUGGUGAAAGUAUUGAGAUACUUUUGGCUUGGAAUGAAUUAUGAGUCAUGUUGCAGUGCAUCAAUAACAGCAGGAAACUGACUUCGCAAUUUUGAUGAAAAACUCAAGGUAUUUGUAGGAUCAAUAUCGGUAAAUGGAGAAGGGGGCAACCCACUGGCCCAAGCUCGAUACAUUUUUGUCAUGUGUUUCCUUAGUCUCCUAAUCUCUUUCUUUAAACUCUCAUUUUCCUGACUCUUUGUUUGAUCCAUGAUGUCACUCUCUAUAUCCUUGUUAAACACAAGUAACCCUUCCUUGGAUUUGGAGUGAUGUGGAGGAACUGUCAGAAUACCACAAACCAACCACCUUAAACUAACUGAAUAAGAAAUAACAAAUGUGUUAGAGUUCAACACUUUCUCAAAACCUUUUUCUUUCAUUUUCUUUGGAAAAUAUCACCAAACCCAAGAAGGGAGUGUACAUAUCUCACUCCCAAAAGAGGAGAAUUAGGUGUGCAUAGUUUGUAAAGUCUUGUCACACAUGACCAAUUAAACUCUCUUUCUUUUUCUUAUUUUUUGAAACUUUGAGAAGAAAAGAAAAUAACAAAUUGUCAAAACAAUUGACGAAAAUAUUUUUUGAAUUUUUCAGUUUUAAACUCCCUAUACAAAAUGAAACCUAUGAUUACCAAAGAAAAAUCUUUUUGGAUUUUUGAUUGUGAAUUUAAUAUGAAAAUGAAACUGAAACUAUUAAAGGAAAAUCUUUUUGUAGUUUUCUUUUAAAUAUGUAUAUGACACCUACUCAAAAUGAAGAGUGAAGAAAAUAUUUUUGAAUGUUUUAAAUAAGAUCACCGAAUCCUAGAAGGGCUGCCUACGUACCUCAUCCCCGAAAGAGGAGAAUCAGGUGUGCGUAGUUCGUCCAGAUUGGACAAUUUAGGAUUAAAUGACAAACAAAAUCUUGACUUGAGAGACACGGCCAAAGACAAACGAUAAAAAAUAUCAAUAAAAUCUUUUUGAGUUUUGAAUUUGACACUUUACAUAAAACUGACAGCAACAACCAUGAAAAAAAAAUCUUUUGGGUAUUUUCAUUAUAUGAAAUGUACAAAACUUCUACCAUGUUUUCUUUGAAUUGUUCUUUUAUAAAAAGUUCCUAUUAAAAAAAAUUCUUGUAAAAAUUUUUGAAUUAUGAAAUGCAUGCUAAAGGAACAAAAGAAAAAUCUUUUUGAUGUUUUUGUAUUUUGAGAAUUGAGUGUAAUAGGUAAAAAUCUUUUUAAAUUUUUUGAAUUGUGAAGAACAAAAACCAUAAAGAACUCUAAAACACUACGAAACUCUUUUUUGACACACUUUUUUUCUUUAUUUUUUGAACUUUUCCUUACCUACACACUUUCUUUUAAUUCUACCACAUGCUUUCCUCAAAUCAGUCGUACAAAUGACCAUGUUAUCCUCAGAUAUGCAAUAAUUAGCACGUAGGGAUGCAUUAGGGGUGGGUCUCCUACAAAGGAUCAAGUGGGUCCCUCUAGGUUUCAAUAUGAUGCAGAUAAGGGUGAUCUAAAGGCUGACCUGGGCUGAGGUUCACUAACAAGGCUGUUUGGGGGAGUGUAUGGUCGAUAGUGGCUGCGAGAGCUUUCCACCCACUCCAUACGUCCGAUGGCUCCCUAUCCCAAAAUAAAGGUGACUCAACUAGAGUUCGUGUACUUGACCUAUACUCUGGUAUUUGUUGCAAAAGAAAUGACUCGAUUUAUGCAAAUCAUGCCAGAUAUAAAACGGCAACACAUAAAAAAAAAUGUAAACAAAGAGCAUGUAGGCAUCCAACAAUGAUAAAACAAUAACACAAAUAAAAUAUCUAUACACCUAUAGUGUCAAACUAAGUCGAUACAACUCAAAAAUAAGCUCGAAUUUUGAAAAUAUCCCCAGCAGAGUCACCAGAGCUGUCACACCCUUUUUUUAAUCAAAAGAUAAAUUUUUAAGUUUCAAAAAGGUUUUUAUUAUUAAGUGACAAAAAUAAAACAAUUUGUUUCGAAAAGGAUUCUUUUUCAUUUGAACUCAGAGUCGCCACUUGGCAUAAAUCCGGUGUGCCAAGUCACCUUUGGAAAUCCUUUUUCAAAAAAUAAUUUUGACUCUUUUAAACUAAUUCGCGAACAGAGAUUCCGGCUAAGGAAUUCUGUUGACUGAGAAAAAGGUGUUAGGCACCCCUCGAUCCCGUGGUUCGACCACGAUCGCUCUGAAGAGUAUAUCGACAAGUAUGGCACUAUAAAGUAAAUAAACCACAUAAACACACAACAACAAACAAACAAACAAACCAAACAAAGCAAAUCCAAAAAAUAAUGUUCAGUCCAAUUUAUUACAUACCCAAAAUAAAAAGGUAUUGAAAUGUAAACCUACACUAAUCCUAAACUAUGCUCCACCCGGUGCCUCGGACCUUGAUCACGAACCUCCUUCACAUAUAUAAUACUUCAGGACAUUCUUCGGUGAAUAAAUACAAAUGACCUUGGGGUAUUCCCCGGCUAAAUGAUACAUUUUCCAAAUGCAAUAAAACCAAACCAUUCAAUAAAGUUUCAAACAUUCAACAAACCACGAGUCCUAAACUGUGCUUACCCAACCUACUGUUUGCCUACCAAUUUAAACAUAUCAUGAUUCUAUCACGUUCAACAUCAUCAAUACAUAAAAAAUAAUCAAUAUUCACUUUUUCUAGAUUUUCAAUCCACUCCCCCAAUUUCAUUCUCAAGUGUUCAACUGUCACACCCCUUUUUUUCUCGAAGGUUCGAAGGUCGAAGGGUUUUUUCAAUUAAAGUGAUGAUUUUAAAUAGGGAUUAAUUUAUUUUUAAAGUUGCCACUUGGAAUUGAGUUAUAGUGUUCCAAGUCACCUUUUUGAAUCCCUAAUCAAAAGAAAACGACUCUUUUAUUUGGUCUGCAAAAGUAGAAGAUCGAGUAAGGAAUCCUGUUGACCGAGGGGAAGGUAUGAGACACCCCCGAGUCCCGUGGUUCUAGCACGAUCGCUUUUAUUGACUUAUACUUGACUUAAACUAUUUUGAUAAAUUAUGUUAAGACCCAAAUUUGUUCAUUUUUAAUUAUACCAAAAAUGUCUAUCAAUAUCUUUUAAAUUAAAUAAAUUGGUGAAAAUUAAUUUUAGAAGCUAUUUGUCAAGGUGCAUUAUUGCAUCCUUGAAUUUAAAAUAUCUCAGAAAAUAUGUGUAUGCCACAUUCUUAAUUGAGAUGAAUAUUUUAAAAUGUGUCUAGAAUAUACCUAAAUUUUUAUAAUAAAUUAAAGAAAAAUUCAUUUAACAUAAUUAAUUAAAUCAAUAAAUAAUUAUUAAGAUCUAUUAAUAUAAUAAUAAAAUAAAUAAAAUACAAAAAUCUACCUAUAUUAUGCUAAAUUUAAAAUUCUCCCUAAAAUUUAAUUUUCUUUAAGUUAACUCUGAUAAUAAAAGAAAACUCUAAAAUCUAGUUAAAAAUAAAUAUAAAUCAUAAAAGUAUUGUUUACAUCUUUUAAGUUAACUUUUAUUUGAAAAUUUUAAAAUCUAAUUGAACAUAAAUAGAAAUUCCAUACGAAAAGUAUUUUCAGUAAGUAUUAGAAACAAAAUAAAAAAGCGAUUUUAGUGAUUUUUUAGAUAGUGUCCCACCGAAACAGCAUCGAACGACCCAAAAUCCGGUCAGAUCUGGAUUCUAUAACGUGAUAGAGGCGAGAAAAAGGAAAAAUAGAAGAGAGAAGGGCGGCGGCAGUUUGGUCGUGAGGUUCGCCAGCGAGAAAGGGAGAAGAAGAAGGGGACAACGGCGGCGAUGGGUUCGCCGGUUUUGUGGAUCUGGAUGGGAAAAGGUAAGGGGAGGUCGGUACGUCAGAUCUGGUGGUUGGUGGUCACUGGUGUUUGGGGAAAAAGGAGGGGAGAAGGUUGGCACCGGCGAUUGGGUGGUCACCGGAGGAAUUUGCUAGCAGCGCUAGCGACAAUUUUCUUUGAUGGUUUGCCAAUUUCUGAAGAAUAUGGUAUUUCCAGUAGGCUUCCGACCAUUUUGUCAUCGGAGGAGAUGACGAUUUUGAUGAAUUAAAUCUAAACAAAACUCCUUUCUCUCUGAAUUUUUUGUCUCCCUUCAUUCUUUAUUUUUACCCUUUUUAAUCAAAUUUCUACUCUGUUAUUAUUACUGUCUGAUUUUUUCACUAUCUAUUUUCGUAUAUACAGGUGUGUGUAUACAGUUUUUGGUGAGUGUAAAAUGUAUGAUAUAUUAUGAAAUUAUGUGAGCGAACUGUGAUGGUGUGUGAAUUGUAUGAAUGUGUAGAUGUGUGUAAAUGGUGUGUACAGUGUAUAUGAAUGUGAAAUUGUAACAAUGUCUAUUUUUCUUUUCUCUGCUAUUUCUUUCUAUUCCGAAUUUAACUUAGCAGCAUAUACAUAAACACUCAGUGAUUUAAUAUGUAACCCAUAAUAACAUAUACACUCACCUAAUAAAUCAACAACACGUUAUGAAUAGUAUAUGAAAAUUACUUAAACAACUUUAUUCAUAUUUUUUAUUCAUAAUAAAGUUUAUGCAAUAAAUUAUAUAGGAUCAAAAUAAAAUAAAGCAUGUGUUAAAUUGAAAAGAAAUAUGAAGUUGUCACCGAAAUCCUCAAGCGAAACUUUGAAACUCGAAUUCUGACGUUUUCUCCUCUUUAUUUUCUUUUUAUUUUUUUUACUUCACUUGUUUUCUUCUUUUUUCCUCUCUAGUUUUCUCUAUUUUUUGAUGCAGUCAGUGUAGAUGGUGAGAAUAGUACCUAGAAUUCUGUAGAUGUGGUCGUGGAAAAUCCUUAAAUACAAGAUUUUUAAGGGGAACAAUAACUAUCUGAUAGGUGGGAUUUUAAAAUUUGAAUUAUUAUUAUUGUUAUUAUUUUAAGAAGAUAAUAAUAAUAAAUUAAAUAAAUAAAUAAAGUAAUAGAAUAAUAAUAAUAAAUAAUAAAAAUUUAGAAAACAAAAAUACAUAUUUUUUUAAUUCUUGUAUUGAAAAUAAAAAUAAAAUAUCUCAAAAUUAAGUUUAUUUAUUUAUUCAUUUUUGAAUGAAAAAUUUACUAAAAAUAAAGUAAGAGUUACAAUAAUAUCGGAUCGAUACAAAUAUUUAAUAUAGAUAAAUGAAUUAAAAUUUGGGGAGGAUAAAAAAUCACGUGUCUAUAUUUUUGCCUCUCUUUGUGUGGAAUCUUGAAGAGUUUUCAUACAAAGAAGUAGACAAGUUAUGAUUUUUGACCCUUCAAUUAUUUUGAAAGGUAAGGAUAAAAUAAAAUUAAAAUUAAAAAAAAAAUAUGACCGAGUCCUGAUUUUGGACCUCCUACCUAUCCCGGGUUAUAAGGGAAUCAGGUUAUGAGUAGUUCAAAGGUAACAUGAUGAGAGAAUGAUUUAGAUGUCGAGUGAAAUUCCAUCGAGUUUUUCGUUAACGACUUCUACCUUUUACAUCCAAAUGACUAAUAAAAAUCAAAGAUGAAAAAUACAAAUGUAAGAUACAAUUUCUCUAGAAUCUUGAUUUGAAUCUUCGUGACUUGAACUUAAAAAUUCACCGUAUUCUUCGGGCGGGCUCCUGGAUUACUUUUUUCCUUCUUCACCCUGUUCUUCAGGUGGGCUCCUGACUUGUUACUUCUUCACCCUGUUCUUCCAGCGGUCUCCUAGCUUGUAAUAACUUCUCCUGACAAUGUUUACCCUAUUCUUCAGGCGGGCUCCUGGACUUACUUUUCCUACACCCUGUUCUUCAGGCUACUCCUUCACUUACUUUUCCACUACUCUGUUCUUCAGGCGGGCUCCUAAACUUGCUUUUCCUUUACCCUAUUCUUCAGACGGGCUCCUAGACUUACUUUUUCUUUUACCAUGUUCUUCAGGCGGGCUCCUGGACUUCCUUUUCCUUUACCCUGUUCUUCAGACGGGCUCCUGGACUUACUUUUUCUUUUACCAUGUUCUUCAAGUGGACUCCUGGACUUGAUUUUCGCUUACCCUAUUCUUCAGGCGGGCUCCUGGACUUUUCCUUUUACACUGUUUUUCAGGCGGGCUCCUCGACUUGCUUUUUCUUCACCCUGUUUUUUAGGCGGGCUCCUGGACUUAGUUUUCUUCACCUUGUUCUUCAGGAGGGCUCCUAGAAUUACUUUUUCUUCACCUUGUUCUUCAGGCGGUCUCCUGACUUGCUAUUUCUGAUUUUUGAAAUAUGUUCCUGAACUCAAAAUAAAAGGUGAAACAGAAAAAUAACAUCCCAUUCUCCAGGAGGGUCCUGGGCAUAAAAUAAAUUCCCAUCUUCAGGAGGGUCCUGUUCAAUUCUUCAGGAGGGUCCUGAGCAUAAAAAUAAAUUUCCAUUCUUUAUGAGGGUCUUGUCCCAUUCUUCAGGAGGGUACUGAGCAAAAAGUAAAUUUCCAUUCUUCAGGAGGGAUUCUUCAAGAGGGUCCUGAGCAUAAAAAUAAUUUUUCAUUCUUCAGGAGGGUCCUGUCCAAUUAUUCAGGGGGGUCCUGAGCAUAAAAAUAAAUUUCCAUUAUUCAGGAGUGUCCUGUCUCAUUCUCUAGGAGGGUCCUGUCUCAUUCUUCAGGAGGGUUCUGAGCAUAAAAAUAAAUUCUCAUUCUUCAGGAUGGUCUUGUCUCAUUAUUCAGGAGGGUCCUGAGCAUAAAAAUAAAUUUCCAUUCUUUAGGAGGGUCCUGAGCAUAAAGUAAAUUCCCAUUCUUCAGGAGUAUCCUGAGCAAAAAAUAAAUUCUCAUUCCUCAGGAGGGUGUUUAAUAUUAAAAUAAAUUUCCAUUCUCCAGGAGGGUCCUGUGCAUAAAAAUUAAUUCCCAUUCUUUACAUACACAUUUUUUUGGCCCAGUGUGUAGUGAGAAAAUUUAAGUGUGUAACCAGAUCUUAAUUUUUUUUUUUUGAAAAAUAAAGUGAAUGGAUAAAUCAAAGUCUGAAAUAUCUUUAGUAAUUACAUCUCGUAAAGAAUAAAAUUUACCCUAAUCAAGAUCCAGCAUCGUGUGCUGUAACCAUGCUUCUUGCAUUAACAGAAGUGUGAAAUUCCAUCCUUCAUCUGAAAACUUUAAUGUGAAAAAGAAUAUCCCAUCUCUAUUUCAAACAAAGAAAAAUUGUGCGUUUUAAAACAUGUGGUGGUUGGUUUGUGGUAUUUGAAUUUUGAAGUGACUGCUCUUGCACUUGCCAUGCUCAACUCAUUUUCAAAUCGUUGAUAAAUAUUUGUUGACUUGUCAUUAUUCCGAUCCCAAAUUCUAACUACUGAGAUUCUCAACUCAAAGCAUAUUUAUCUUGUAUGAUGUUUCUAGGUUUAGCUUUCAAUACAUAUUUUAUCUUUUCGCGAGUCCAAAAUUGUCAUAUCAUAAUCAUUCUGAGUACUUUAUUUUACUUUGAAACGUUGUCUUUGUGCGUCGACCUUUUGUCUCGCUUUGUACCAUUGAAGAAGUUGGUAGCAAGUUUGGAGUCCCUUUCUUACUCGACUUGAUGAGAAUUUGACUCAAAAAUACAUAAAAGAUGACAAUAAAUUUCGUUUGACGACAAGGAUACAAGCACUCAAAAAUUGAAAUAAAACAAAAAGAAAAAGGAAAAGACAAUAGGCGUCUCGUUUCAAAAUUAAAAUAAAACCUUAUCUGAAUGUAGAAACCGAUUCUGGUGAUUAGGAUAUGCAUUUUGAAUUAAAUAACCUGAUCUAAUUGCACCAAUCAUUAUCAACUUUUGUCCACUUAUUGAACUUUAAAUUAAGCCAAUCUUGAACUUGUUGCUUCUGGAUAACAACCCUCCUUUGGCUAGUGGCACCUUAAUGGGUUUUUGUCAAUGAGCCUAUCUUAUUUUCAUUUCUUUCUCAACUCACUAUCGCCUUAUGGUGCCCUUUGGGGUUUUCACCGAUAAGACUCUCUCAUUUCAAUAUUCUCAUAACUCACAGUCACUUUAUGGUGUCCAAGGGGGUUUUCACCAAUUAGACUCUCUCAUUUUCAUUUUUAUUCUUUUUUCAUUUUUUAUAUUUAAAGAAAAAUAACAUCCAAAAUAUGAAAUAUCAUGCACCCAUAACAUGUUUAGCCUUGACAUUCUCAAAGACUGAUAUGAAGGUCUUUCUUUGACUGUAACUUGGAUUUUGGAAAGGGUUAGAAAGAAAGGGCGGCAUGAGGCUAAAAAAUUUACAUAACAUUGGGUGAAGCAUACAACUUUUGGAAUCGACUUUUUAAGAAAAUAAACUUUUGCUCCAGCUUUAUUUCAUUCUGGGUAACGUAAAUUUUCUUUUGGUUAGAUCGAACCCCAUAGUAGGGCUGCUUACGUAUCCUGUCAUAGCAAGAAUCUGGUCAAACAUAGUUCAUGAGAGUCAUUAUUUUGCUUGAUUUUGAUUAUUAUUAUUUUUUUCUUUUUUUUGCUUUUUUUUUUCACCAACAUCCUUUUUUUUUGGUUGAAACUUUUAACUCUAAUUGGUUCCAAAAGAGGGGUACGGAAGAAAGAUAAAAUCUCAAAGGGGAUAAGCAAAUGUUGAUAUAUUAUUCGGAUAGCUGAACAAAAUGCCUUCAUCAUUUCAAUCUUUUAAAAUAAAAGUACAAAACAUACAUAACAUAAUUGUACAUAAAUAUCAUACAUAAUAUCUCUUAAAUGCAUCAGCAUUGACCGAUAUUUCUUCUAUUUUGCCUUCUACAUCAGUCAAAUAUAAUGCACCAUUAGGUAACACCUUCUUCACCAUAAAUGGUCCUUGCCAAUUAGGAGAAAAUUUGCUUUUGGCUUCAAUCUGAUGGGGAAAGAUGUGUAUUAGUACUAACUGACCGGCUUCAAAUUGUCUGGGGCGAACCUUUCUAUUAUAGGCUUGAGCCAUUCUCAAAUAGUAUAGUUGGCCAUGACAUACCGACACCAGUUUUUUCUCAUCAAUCAAACUCAAUUUCUCCAAUCGGGUUUUGACCCACUUAUCAUAAUCAUUUUCGGCCUUUACAACAACUUGAAGAGAUUGAAUCUUAAUUUCUGCAGGUAUAACUGCUUCAGUUUCGUACACCAACGAGUAAGGAGUUGCACCAAUUGAAGUCUGAACUGUAGUAUGAUUACCCAACAAAGCAAAAAGUGACUUUUCAUGCCAUUGUUGGGAACCCUGCACCAUCUUGCGAAGUAUUUUCUUUAGGUUCUUGUUGGAAGCUUCUACAGCACCGUUCGGCUUCAGGCGAUAAGGAGUUGAAUUUCGAUGCAUAAUCUUAAAUUGCUGACAUGCUUCAUACAUCAAAUAACUGUUGAGAUUUGCAGCAUUAUCCAUGACAAUUAUCUUUGGAAUGCCAAGCCGACAAAUUAUGUUGGAGUGAACAAAGUCAACCACUGCUUUCUUAGUCAUUAACUUGAAAAUCGUUGCUUCUUCCCACUUUGUAAAAUAAUUAAUAGUUACCAAGAUGAACCUAUGUCCAUUCGAGGCCUUCGGUUCAAUUGGUUUAAUUACGUCUAUUCCCAAAGCCACAAAAAGCCAUAAAGCAGUCAUUGUAUGCAACUCAGAUGGAGAGAAAUGUAUCAAGUCCCCAUGUACCUGGUAUUCAUAAUAUUUGCGAACGAAACGGAUGGAAUCUUGCUCCAUGGUUAACCAAUAAUAACCUGUUUAAAGUAUUUUCUUUGCCAAAAUAUACCCGCUUACGUGCGGUCCAAAAAUCUACGAAUGUACUUCAGUUAUGAUUUUUGAAACUUUUUUAGCAUCUAUAAACCUGAAAUUCCCAAAUCUGAAGUCCUCUUGCACAAGAUUCGCCCACUUAGGAAAAAUAUGCUAGCCAGACAUCGAAUGGUUCUUUUUUGGUUACCAUCAGUGUAUAUGGGAUAUUUUCCAGUCUGAAUAUAUUCUUUGAUAUCAUGGAACCAAGGAUCUUCAUCAGGUUCUUCCUCAACCACAUUGCAAUAUGCAUAUUGAUCAAGGAUCUGUAUAUGCACAGGGUCAAUAUGAGUCUAGUCGGGAUGUUGGAGCAUCGAAUAUAAGGUUGCCAAAGCAUCAACAAUUUCAUUAUGAGCUCUGGGAAUAUGCUUGAACUUUAUUGAUACAAAUCAUUGACAAGGAUUAUACAAACCAUCUCGAUAUGGUAGGAAUUUUGAAUCACGAGUGUCCCAAUCUCCUUUGAUUUAGUGGACUAACAAAUGUGAAUCUCCUAACACCAACAGUUCUUGGAUUCCCAUGCCGAUGGCUAGUAUCAAACCCAAAAUGCCUGCUUCAUGUUUUGCUAUAUUAUUUGUACAAUAGAAUCGAAGUUGGGCUGUUAUAGGACAGUAUUGUUCUGAUUCAUAAAUAAGGACUACCCCUAUCCCUACUCCUUUUACAUUAGUAGCUCCAUUAAAGAACAUCUUCAAACCUGAAUGGCAGUCAUCAGAAAUAACCUCAUCAACACAUAAUAUCUCUUCAUCCAAAAAGUAAGUCUUUAAUGGCUCAUAUUCCUCAUCGAUAGGAUUUUCAGCCAAAUGCUCUGCUAAGGCUUGAUCUUUUAUUGCAGUUUGAGUCACAUAGACAAUAUCAAACUCUAUGAGUAGCAUCUGUCAUUUUGCUAGUCUGCCUGCGGGCAUAGGCUUCUGAAAAAUAUACUUUAAGGAAUCCAUAUGUGAAAUGAGGUAAGUAGUGUAAAAUGACAAGUAAUGCUUCAACUUUUGUGCUACCCAAGUUAAGGCGCAAUAUGUCUUUUCAAGAAGAGUAUACUCAGCCUCAUAAGUGAUAAACUUUUUGCUAAGGUAGUAGAUGGCCUAUUCUUUUCUGCCUGUGACAUAAUGUUGACCCAAUACACAACUAAAAGAAUUGUCUAACAUAGACAUAUACAAUAUCAAGGGUCUACCUGGCUCUGGAGGAAUCAAAAUAGGCGGAUUCGACAAGUACCUCUUAGUUAUGUCAAAUGCCUCUUGACAUUCUUCAGUCCAUUCAACUUUAGCAUUCUUCUUUAACAACUUGAAAAUUGACUCAAAGAUCAUCGUGAGUUGGGCAAUGAAUCAACUGAUAUAAUUCAACUUUCCAAGUAAGCUCAUCACCUCCAUUUUGUUCUUUGGUGGAGGCAAAUCUUGAAUAGCUUUUAUUUUUGAAGGAUCUAACUCAAUGCCACGUCGACUGACUAUAAAUCCCAAGAGUUUUCCUGACAGGACUUCAAAUACAUAUUUUGCUGGGUUAAGUUUGAGAUCAUACCUUCGAAGCCUUUUAAAGAAUUUCUUUAGAUCCUUGAUAUGGUCAGACUGCUCUCUUGAUUUAAUGAUCACGUCGUCCAUAUAAACUUCAAUCUCUUUGUGCAUCAUGUCAUGAAACAUUGUGGUCAUUGUCCUCAUGUAAGUUUCCCUAGCAUUCUUUAGUAGGAAUAGCAUAACUCGAUAAAAAUAUUUCCCCUAUGAUGUGAUAAAUGAUGUCUUUUUUGCAUCUUAUGGAUCCAUAAUGAUCUGGUUAUACCCUGCAUAAGAAUCUACAAAAGACGCAAGAUCAUGUUUGGCACAAUUAUCCAACAAAAUAUGAAUGUUGGGAAGUGGAAAAUCAUCUUUUAGACUUGCUUUAUUUAGAUCACGAUAAUCAACACACAUCUAAAUUUUGCCAUCCUUCUUUGGAAUAGGGACAAUAUUUGCUAACCAAGUAGGAUAUUGGGCCACUCGAAUGACUUUAGCCUCAAGUUACUUCAUAAUUUCCUCUUUGAUUUUUACGCUUAUGUCAGUUUUAAUCUUCCUUAAAUUUUACUUGAUAGGAGGGAAAGCAGGAUCAAUUGGCAACUUAUGAACUACUAAAUUAGUGCUCAAACCCGGCAUAUCAUCAUAAGACCACACAAAGAUGUUUUUGUACUUAAGCAAAGCUUCAAUUAUAGCCUUCUUUUGUUGUGGUUGAGCAUUUUCACUUAUCUUAGUCUUCGUAAUAUUUUCAUGAUAUCCUAAAUUGAUCACCUCAGUUUCAUCCAAAUUAGGAUUUGACUUAUUCUCAAACUGUUUGAAAUCUUUGCUUAUAACCCCAAAUGCUUCCUCUUCAUCGUAUUCAACUUCUUUAUUCAUUAUUUCAUAAUUAGAUUGGAUUUUUAAAUCUGGUUGAAAAUUCUUCAUGCAUGUCAUUUCAUUAGAAUCGGCAUAGAAAGAACUGUAUAAUAGAAAAUAAAUAAGUAAAUAUUAGACACAAAAUAAAACAAAGAGAAGUUACGUUUCAUUAAAAGAAUGAUAGAAAGAGGUUAACCUAAAAUAACAAGGUAAAGAUCUAAAUUACAAUCCUAGAAUGAUUUAAAUUAUAGAGAAAAAACAAACAAACUACCAAGACUGAAAAAAAAUUAAACAAACUACCAAGACUCCUUCAUAGUAGGGAGAGAAGUGGCAUCCCAAUUGUUAAGCUAGACAUCAGGGCUGAUAAACUGCAUAUCUGCAUUGCUGGUACCUUUCCCAAUUUCAACCAUAUCAGCUUCAAUGAUCAUAUUCUGGAAAAGGUCAAUCAACUCUGUAUUAUCAUCAUUCAUUGACUCUACAGCAGGUAACACAGAGGACCUAACAACACUGACUUUGAUGAAAGACUCGUGAAGUGGAAGUAUCAGCUUGGUAAGUGACCAUGACUCUUUCAUACACUUUUUAGCCUUUUUUCUUUCUUUAGAAAGACUUGUAUCCCAACCCAAAGGUACUGAGGUUCUUAUGGAGGUUUGCUGGAUGAGCCCAGCCUUGCAAAAACAUUCCUAAACCUUUUCCUGGUUCAAAACCAUACUUUAACAUUUCAUUCACUACCAAAAUAGAUAUUAAGGAUAGUAGUGGUCUUGCGGUGAGAUUUCUCUCAAGGAUAUGCUCAACAGCCACUACCUUAAAAGCUUGAUGAAUUAGCACUCUAUCUGCAAUAUCUGCUUCAAUGGAGGAAACAGAGAAGUUUUUAUACUUGUAUAAGUCUCCUUCACCAUGAACAACUAUUUCUUGCCCGUCGUGUUCAAAUUUGACCAUUUGGUACAACGUUGAUGAGACUGCUUCAGCCGUAUAAAUCCAUGGCCUUUUAUAAUAACAUAUUAUAUGAAGUAUCAAUGUUCAGUAAUUGGAAAUCCAUAGAAAAAUCCAUAGUACCAAUUGUCAAUAUGAGCUCUAUUUCACCAAUGACAUCAAUUUUUGCUUCGUCAAAACCUUUGACGUAUACAUUAUUAGGUCAGCUCCUUUCCAUAUUAACAUUCAACUUUUGCAAAAUUGACAUAGGACAAAUAUUAGCACCUGAUCCUCCAUCAAUCAACACACGAGUUGAAGGAAUGCUCAUAUUUCAUAAUAAUAUAGAGACCUCUGUUAUGUCCGGUACCUUCUACAGGCAAUUCAUCGUCUGAGAAAGUGAUCUUAUUUAUAUCAAGGAUCCUUCCAAAAACUUUUUCCAGCUAAUUCACCUUAAUCUCACUGGGAACACAUGCCUUAUUAAGAAUCUUCAUUAUAGCCUUGCGGUGAUCCUCUAAAUGUAUCAAUAAAGACAACAAAGAAAUCUGUGCUAGCGUCUGCUUCAGCUGUUCUACAACAGAAUAUUCUGGCAAUUUUAUUUUCUUUAAGAAUUUUUUAGCUUCUUCAUCAGUAACUGGCUUCUUGAGUGUCAUUCAUUCUUUAUUGCCUUAUUUAUUCUUUCUUAACUCUACUGGGGCAUUACAUCUACCAGAUCGAGUUAAUCUCCCUACUUUAUCUGCAUCUUCAAUUAUUUCUUUCCUCUUAUGCAUCACCACAACGCUAUCGUAGUUCCAAGGGAUUGCCUUGGUAUUAACCAUAGGCAACUGUGAAACUGGUUUAGUAAUAAUAAGAGCUAUGGGAGCUCUUUUUAUAAUUAAAAGAGGCUUAGUGGGUCUUCCAGGAACAAUGAGCUUUGGUUUUACUUGAACUGACUCAACACUUUCUGGAAUCUUUUUCUCCACAACUAAGGAAACAUUCGAUGAUUCGGGUUUUGUUAUCACUACCUCCACUUCUAUAGGUUUUUCCUUUGUCAAAUCUACAACAUUUGCAGAUUUUUCCAAAUCAGUUUUAAUUUUAAUGAUCGGCUUGAAGGAAAUUACAACAUCUUCACCACUGGGUAUCACUUCGAGCAUGUUUUUUUCAUUAUGAUCUGGUAACAGAUUUUGAUUAAUAUUUGGAGCGUCUGGGCUUUGCACCAUGAUCUGUUGUGUGUGAAUUAGCUCCUGAAUAGCUCUUUUCAGAUACCAAUAUUUCUCUAUGUUGUGCCCUCAGGCAUCAAAACAGUAUGCACAUCUUCUGGAAUAAUCUAAGUUUUUUGGUGGAGGAUUUGAAAUCCUUCUCGUGAUUGGGCUUAAAACAUUCAUGUCUCUCAAUAUUUAAAAUAAGCUUGCUUAAGAAAUUCCAAUGGAAGUAAAAUUAUCUUUUCCCAUGUUAGCUGUCUUAAAAUUUGCUCUAGGCCAGAAAGUAGAUCUAGGGGGAGCUUGUCAAACUUUUGAGAUCGGAGGAUGAUUUUGGAUGGCUGGUGCACACCAUUGUGGGUAAGAAGGAGCCCGGGCAUAUGAUUUUGCAUUGUAAAUAGGCUACAAGGGGGAUGGAAUGAAAUAUAAUGGAUUUUAUGUGUAUGGCUGACACACACCUCUCCAAUUUUAUUGUGGACCUAGCACAACAGUUGCUACAUCCUCUUUUCUUUUAUUUCCAUCAAAACUUCCUGCACCACUUUGAAUUGCCUGUGUUGUUUCUUUCAAAGCGGCUUGACUGAUAAUCUUUCCUGACUUAAUUCCAUUCUCUACCAUCUCUUCAACUUUAAUAACCUCAGCAAAUGUGCUUUUAAUAGUAGAAAGUAAAUAAUGGAAAUAAUCAAUUUCUUGUGCUUGCAAAAAAUAUCAAUCAUUUCAGAUUCCUUUAUUGAUGGUCUAACUCUUGAAGCCUGCUCUCUCUAUCUGACAGCAUAUUCUCAAAAACUUUCAGUCAUCUUUUUUCUCAUAUUGGCAAGCAUAGUGCGAUCUGGAACUAUCUUAAUGUUAUAUUGAAAUUGUUGAAUGAAAUCCCAAGCUAUGUCAUCCCACACGUGCCAAUGGGACAUGGCUUGUUCAAUAAACUAUUCAGAAGCUAUUCCGGACAGGCUUUCUCCAAAGUAAGCCAGCAAUAGUUUUUCUUUUUCUCUUGCUUCCCUUAAUUGUUUGUAGAAAUUUUUCAAGUGAGCUAUAGGAUCUCCAUGACCUUCGUAUUUGUCAAACUUUGGCAUUUUGAAACCCAACAACAGAUAGACAUCAGAAAACAUACAUAAAUCCUUGUAUGAAACACUCUUUGGUCCUCCUAAUCCUUGAAUAUUUCUCAUACUCUGCUCCUAGCUUCUUACUUUCCUAGCUAUCUCCUCUUGUUCCUCAUUCUUAACAAUCUUUUCUAUCAUGAUAGGAGAAUCAUGUUGAUGAGCAUGAUAAUGUGGAUUUUAGGGUUUAAAAGUCAUUUCAGGAGGAUAUAACAGAUCAUGACUUGGUUCCCCCAUAUUUCUCUGUAUUAUCGAUUGAGGGCCCGCAGUAACUGGUGUUACAGAUGUGAACAAUGGGUUAUUUAUGACAAACGGAUUUGGUGGGAACAUGGUAGAAGUACCUGUAGCCCCAAACAUAUUAGCGUACGGGCUAAAUCCAGGUAGAUAAAAUGGAUCGCUAGUUUAAGCUUGAGCAGGAUUUGGAUCAUUCGUAUUCAAAAGCCCAGGGAUUAAGGAAGGCGGGGCUUGUCUGUUCAAUUAAGCUUGGUACAUUUUUGCCAUCUGUUGUUUUAAUAACUUAAUCUCUUCCACUGAUGCUAAUUCUUGUGAAAUCAAUUAAUUUUGCUCCUCCUCACUAUCAGACCCUACACCCUCUUUGCGGGUCAUUUUUCCUUUUCCUUUGUAGCUGGUGUUGUACAAAUGUGAUGCCAGUUUAAACCAUAAACCAACCACCAACUACUUUAUCUUUUCUGUGAUCAAGUAGCAAAUGGAUGAGUGUUACACAUUUAACACAUUAUAAAGCCACGUUGUAUGUUAUGCUUCUAGAUGCAUUUUCCAACCUACCAUGGAAGGCCUUAUGUUUCAUCCUGGUUUUACUAGGUGCACUUUUUGAAAAGUUAUGAUCGAACCCUUUGGAGGGUUGCCUACAUAUCAUGCCAGGACAUGAAUCAGAUCUUGCAUAGUUUGGAAGCUGGAGAUAUGAAGAAACAUAUUUUUCUUUUAAUUUGAGAAAUGAGAAAGAUUUUUAUUUUUUGAAUUUAUUAAUAAUGAUAAAACACAUUUUUUAUUUUUAAAAAUAAAUUAAUUUAUUUUUAUAUACAGAUAAAAAAACUCUCUUCUUUAUUUAUUUAGAAGGAAAGACAAAUAUUUUUUUCUCUAAAAUCACCAAAUCCAUGAAGGACUGCCUACGUAUCUCAUCAAUGUUAGAAUUAAGUGUGCGUAGUUCUUGAGAUAUAUGUUGUACAAAACUCAGCCUCAAGACCCCAAAAGGUUCAGGGCUGUUAAGAUUUAUAUAUAUUUUAUAUUGUAAAAAUUUAGCCUCAUGAUCCCUAAAGAUUCAGGGUUAUUAAGAUAUAUAAAAAUUGGACUUGAGCAUUAGAAAAAUAAUUAUGAAAGUAAUAAUAUUUUCAAAAUAUUCUCCAAUAAAUCUAUGAAUAGUUUUUCAGAAGAUAGGGUCGUACCCCGAAAAAGGGCUUCCUACGUAUCCCGCUAAAUAGUGAGAAUCAGGCCCUCGUAGUUCAUGAAGAUCUAAACAAAAACUAUGUAUAUUUUAAUCCCUUUGAAAAGGAUAUUAUUAAAUUUGAGGACAAAAUCUUCUCUUUACAUUUCGCCAAGUUUCCUAAAAGCCGGUCAACAUUCAAAUAGCCUUCCAAACAAAUGUCAAAGAGCACGUAGGAUACACAUGUUGAUCAUUAUAAAAGGGACCCCUAUCCUAGACAGACCCAGCCCCUAUACCGAGUUCCGCUAUGUCAAAUGCAUAUGAUGCAAAUAAAGCGGAACCUAACAGGGAUAACCAAAUUCUGAGUUUCAGUUCUUCUAAGUUUAAUCUAAUUGGGAUAGGUGUCUAGAUUGGCUUACCCGAGUGGACAUUCGAGUCGGGGAGGGACAACUUGUUCGGUAGUAGUGUUACUCGGCCUUCGUUGCCGAUCCAAACCCCACCUAACAUGUGUGACUAUAAUCCUUCACCAGGUGCCUUGACGCUCAGGCUAUCUCAAAAAGAAAGUAGGAUGCAUACGUUGCAUUCCUUCUAUCCUAUUUCAGAGACUCAGAGGGUGUGCGCAAGAGAAAAUAAUUUAUAAUACAAUUCAAUCAAUAGCAAAGAAGUAAAUGAGCGACAAGUAGCACAUAAGGCCACAAACAUACUAUCAACAAUAAUUAAAACAAGUAAAAUUCAAUAUCAAAAGCUUGAAUUCUAGCUAGUAUUCCCCAGCGGAGUCGCCAGAGAUGUCACACCCUUUUUUUGCUCAAAGAUUCGAAGAUCGAAGAUUUUUUUCAAUUAUAGUGACGGUUUUGAAUAAAGAUUAAUUUAUUUUCAGAGUCACCACUUGGAAUUGAGUUAUGGUGUUCCAAGUCACCUUUUUGAAUCCCUAAUCAAAAGAAAAUGACUCUUUUAUUUGGUCUGAAAAAAUAAAACACCGAAUAAGGAAUCUUGUUGACCGAGGAUAAGGUAUGAAGCACCCCUCGAGUCCCGUGGUUCUAGCACGGUCGUUUUUAUUGACUUAUACUUGACUUAAAUUAUUUUGAUAAAUUAUGGUAAGACCUAAAUUUUCUCAUUUUUAAUUAUACCGAAAAUGUCUAUCAAUAUCUUUUAAAUUAAAUAGAUUGGUGAAAAUUAACUUUAAAAUCUAUUUGUCAAGGUGCAUUAUUGCAUCCUUGAAUUUAAAAUGUCUCGAAAAGAUGCGUAUGCCGCAUUAUUAAUUGAGAUGAAUAUUUUAAAAAACGUCUAGAAUAUACCUAAAUUUUUAUUAAUAAAUUAAAGCAAAAUUCAUUUAACACAAUUAAUUAAAUCAAUAAAUAAUUAUUAAGCUCUAUUAAUAAAUAAUAAAAUAAAUAAAAUAAAUAAAAUACACAAAUUUACCUAUAUUACAUUAAAUUUAAUAUUAUCCCUAAAAUUUAAUUUCCUUUAAGUUAACUCUGAUAAUAAAAGAAAACUCUGAAUCUAAUUAAAAAUAAAUAUAAAUCAUAAAAGUAUUGUUUACCUCUUUUAAGUUAACUUUUAAAAUAAAAGAAAAUUUUAAAAUCUAAUUGAACAUAAAUAGAAAUCCAUAAAAAAGUAUUUUCAGUAAUUAUUAGAAACAAAAUAAAAAAGCGAUUUUAGUGAUUUUUCAGAUGGAGUCCUACCGAAACAGCACCAAACGACCCAAAAUCUGGUUAAAUCUGGAUUCUAUGGCGUGAUAGAGGUGAGAGAAGCAGAAAAUGGAAGAGAGAAAGGCGGCGACAAUUUGGUCAUGAGGUUCGCCGGCGAGAAAGGGAGAAGAAGAAGGGGAUAACAGCGGCGAUGGGUUCACCGAUUUCAUGGAUUCGGAUGGGAAAAGAGAAGGGGGGGGGGGUCGGCACAUCAGAUUUGGUGGUUGGUGGUCACUGGUAUUUGGGGAAAAGAGAAGGAAGAAGGUUGGCGCCAGCGACUGGGUGGUCAUCAGAGGAAUUUUCCGGUGGUGCCAGUGGCAGUUUUCUUCACUGGUUUGCUAAUUUUCGACGAAUAUGGUGUUUCCGGUGGGCUUUCGACCAUUUAGUCUUCGGAGGAGAUGACGAUUUUGUUGAAUUAAAUCUAAACGAAACUCUUUUCUCUCUCAUUUUUUUGUCUCCCUUCAUUCUUCAUUUUUACCCUUUUUAAUUAAAUUUCUACUCCGUUAUUAUUAUAUCUAUUUUUUCCACUAUCUGUUUUCAUAUAUACAGGUGUGUGUAUGCAAUUUUUGGUAAGUGUAGAUUGUAUGAUGUAGUAUGAAAUUAUGUGAGUGAACUGUGAUGGUGUGCGAAUUGUGUGAAUGUGUAGAUGUGUGUAAAUAGUGUGUACAGUGUAUAUGAGUGUGAAAUUAUAACAAUGUCUAUUUUUCUUUUCGCUGCUAUUUCUUUUUGUUUCGAAUUUAACUUAGCAGUAUAUACAUAAACACUCAGUAAUUUAAUAUAUAACAUAUAAUAACAUAUACAUUCACUUAAUAAAUCAACAACACAUUAUGAAUAAUAUAUGAAAAUUACUUAAACAACUUUAUUCAUAUUUCUGAUUCAUAAUAAAGUUUAUGCAAUAAAUUACAUAGGAUCAAAAUAAAACCUGUGUUAAAUUAAAAAGAAACACGAAUUUAUCACCGAAAUCAUCAAGCUAAACUUUGAAACUCGAAUUCUGACUCUUUCUUCUCUUUACUUUCUUUUUGUUUUUCGUUUUACUUCACUUAUUUUUCUUCUUUUUCCCUCUCUGGUUUUCUCUAUUUUUUGAUGUAGUCAGUGUAGAUGGUGAGAAUAGUACCUAGAAUUCUGUAGGAUGUGGGUGGGGAAAAUUCUUAAAUACAGGAUUUUUAGGGGGAAAAGUUACUAUCUGAUUGGGGGAAUUUUAAAUUUUGAUUUAUUAUUAUUAUUAUUAUUAUUAUUAUUAUUAUUAUUUUUAAGAAGAAAGUAAUAAUAAUAAUAAAUAAAAUAAAUAAAUAAAGUAAUAGAAUAAUAAACUUUAUAGAAUAAUAAUAAUAAUAGCUAAUUAAUUUUUAUUUUUUUAAGAAAAUAUUUAUGAAUAGCCAAAAUAAAUAAAAUAGUACUAAACUACUAUUUUAUUAAAAUUUAGAAAACAAAUAUAUAUAUAUAUAUAUUUUAAUUUUUUAUUAAAAAUAAAAAUAAAAUAGCUCAAAACUAAUUUUAUUUAUUUAUUUAUUUUUAACUAUUUUUUUUUACUAAAAAUUAAGUAAGAGUUAAAGUAAUAUCGGAUCGAUAUAAAUAUUUAAUAUAGAUAAAUGAAUUAAAAUUCGGGGAGGAUAAAAAAUCACGUGUCUACACAACAAUUCACAAUCACCAUUUUAACAAUCCACAAUCAUUGUCAAUGAAAUCAAACAAACAAAUUGAUAUCACUAAAUAUUCAUAUCCUACUUCACACAAACUAAUCACGCGUAUAUAAUGAUAUUAAAAUGAGAACAAGAUAGAAUUGGACCUCAAAUUAGGGCUUAGUCAUGAAUUUUUUUCAAAGAAUUUCACUAAUACAUAGAGAAGGAGCCACGACCGAAACCACAUCUAGAGCAGCGAACCAACGAACUCAAUCCAAACCCAACACGGUAAUUCAAAACCAAAAUAACUCAAAAGAACAUUGAUUCGGCCGGAAUUUAUGGGCUGUUUGACAAUAGGUUUUACAGCUUGCCGGAGCUGUUUCGUUGUAAUUGUUUUGCUGGAGUUUCAGAAAGCUCGGAUAGUAUUGAAAAAUGGAUAACAACCCAAUUUUAAGGUAACAACGACAUUUUCCAGCAAAUAACUCACUGGAACUGUUAGCCCUGACUUCUUCCUUCUCUCUCUCACUCAAAUCCCCUUUUUUCGAUUCUCUCCUCCCUUUUUUCUGAUUUUAGUCAUGAUUUAUACCCUCUUCCUUGCUUCACUGUGUGUAUGAGUGUUUAUCCAUGUGAGGUGAGUAUCUCCCCCUUUUCUGUUAGUGGGUCUAUUUUUAUGUAUGAGUAUAUGAGAGUAUUCAAGGAAAAAUCUAGAAUCUCUCCAUGGCGUAGUGUGGAGUGUCUGUGAAUUAGAAGAGGAAGCGGCGUGGAGGUGUAUGUGUUUUCCCCCUACUUUCAUUAUUUUUUAUGUGUGUAGUUCAGAAUGUGUAUGUGAGUAUAUGUGAGAUGUGUGUUGCGAAUAUUGUGAGAGAACGACGGUGGCGUGUGCUCUUAUGGCUUUGAAUAGAAAUUGGGAGAGUAUCAAUGUGGGUGUGUGUGUAAUUGUUGAUGGAAAUCUAGUGGGGUCCACGUGAUGUGAGUAUAUUGUAAUAAUGGUGAGGCGUGUCAAUUCUGUUAUGGGAAAAGAGCUGCGUGUAUCAGAUUUUUUUUUUAUCUUUUUGAGAGUUUGUUAGAAAAGUGGAAUAAAGGGGGGUAUGUGGGGGUAUAUGGGGUAGGGUGUGUUUGUUAAAUUUGUUAGGGUGGGUGGUGAAUUUGUUGGGAUGAGGUGUUAAAAGUUAAGAAUUUGUUGGAUUUAUUAUUGUGUGGAAUUUAUCACAUGGGUGAAGGUCUACGGUAAAGUUAGGGUAAAUGGGUAACAAUACACUCUUGAGAGGGACAAAAUUUCAUGUCUACAAUAAACCAUGACAGUAACUGAACAUAAUACAAUCAACUAUUUAAUCUAAUAAGACAAUGGAAUAACUGAACAUAACUUCAUUAGUAAAUGCCAUCACUGAGAUGCCAAAUAUAUUAAUUCAAUUAUCCAUAAAAACUAAAUUAUUAAAAUCAACAAAUCAUUAAGAAAAUUGUUUGUUCCAAACCACCAAACUACAUAUUAUCAUCAUUGAGUUCCUUAAUAAUGCCCAUCAUAUCUACUUUAUUUUCUUCAUUUUUUUUUCUCCUUUUCUUUUACUUCUUUCUUCUCAUUUUCCUUCUCUUCUUUUUCUGAUGAUUUAUUAUCUUCUUCAAUAUUUUAAACCUCCUAUUCAGCCACUGCUUCUUCGUCAACUGCCUUCUCGAUUUUCUUUUUUUUCUUCUGUGAUGAUUUCUUCUUCUUCUUCUUCUUCUUCUUCUUCUUCUUCUUCUUCUUCUUCUUCUUCUUCUUCUUAUUUCUCUUCUUCCUCUUCUUCUUCUUCUUUUAGUUGCACCUUCAAGGCAUCGAUGGGCGUAUCCUUAACUUCUAUCGUGUAUAGCUUAAAUAUUUUCAUAUAUCUCUGCUGGAUCUCACAGACAGUAGGAGUAAGGUACAGGUUCCCGAUCUAUAAAAAAAGAUAUAAACUACAUGACAUUCACUAAUAUAAUAAUUUUAUUAUUAUCAUAUUAUAAUAAGUAUAAUUUUACCUUUAUGCUGUUUUCUUUGUACUUAAAUGGAUCGCCUUCCAUUAUGUUGUCGAACUUCAACGUGUGCCAUCUAAGUAGACGGAGAAGGGGCAAAGGAGAAUCCAAUGACUUUUCAGCGUACCUUCCUAGAUGAGGAAGGACCUCUUAUAUCCAAACCUGCAACUAAUAGAAGCAUAAAUAAAUCUACAGGAUCUAUGUAUUGAUAUAUAAAUAGGUAAGAAUAUAUAAUAAAUUGAUAAGAUGGUUGAUAAUAAGUACCAAAAAUCCCAGAAAAAGGUGUAUAAAGCGUACGAUAUAUUAUUCCUCUUCAUACAUUCUUCUUUAUGCUUUCUCAAAUCAAUCUUCUUUUUCAAAUAGAUCAAUGUCAGCCCAAACGACUCUUUUCAAUAUGGAUAUCGCUCGAAGAAAUCAAAAUCAGUUGCCAUCUUGAUGUGGUCUGAAUCAACCUUCUUUAAUGGGUCCUUUGCCAGCAACAUCGAGUGGACGAACCAAACUAAAGUGCACUUCAACUUUCGUUGAUUAGUCAAUCUAUUACCUUUGAUCAAGCUAAUCAGCCUUGCAGUAGUAAUGCUCCUGUUCUUUGUCACCUUAAAAUAAAAAUUUUUGCCAUUUUGAAGGACUUGUUGGUUUUUGAUUCACGGGGAUAUGCUAAAAAAUUCAUCCCCGCAAUCAAAGCAAAUUCCUUUAAGCCAAAAUAAGUUUGCUUACCAUUCACACAGAAUCAAAUUUCAUGCAAUUUUUUAUUAUUUUUGAUAUGUCGCAGCAACGCAUAAUGGACCAUCUGUCCAUUAAACUUAAAAUGAUCUGGUAUAUGUCUCAAGUGUCCGAAACAAGUCUUCUUAAAAUCAGCAUACAACUUUUGUUCAACUAGAAUCCUUCUAAACUCUCGAUAGACCGUCAUUCUUGUUCUUAUGAAAAUUUUUGUAGGAAAAGAACCUAGCUCAUCCAUCCAAGUUGUUAGGUCGUACAACUCAAUGGAGAUAUCUCUCACACAAAUUGACAAGGAUAGGGAUCAUCCUCCACCCCAUCUCUACUAUCUCUCCUGUCCUCAUCUUCACCGCUAUCACUUUUAUUUUCUUCUUCGCUUUUUGCUUCACUUUUUUCUUCACUAUCCUUAAUAUCGUCACUUUCAUGUGCACUACUUUCGUCAAAUUCAUCAAUCUCGACAAUGAUUUUUGAUUCAGUUUCCGACUCGAAUUCAUCGAUUACAGUUUUUUUCUUCUUCGAAGUCUUGAAAACUUAUUCGGCUUUUCACUUCUCACUGUUAUAAGUAGUGGAAGCAGGCCUUUUAACUGCUCUAUGAAAGUUUACCAUUAAUGAUCUACAACCAAAAACGAAUUUGUAGUGGUCGAUUUAUCGACCACUAAUCUAUUACAAAAAUGGGAAAAUGCAGUAAAAACAAAUUUUAAGAAAAAUGGAAAAACGUCUUUCAAGUUCCAACUUCUCUAGAUAUUGGCAGUGCAAUUCAUAACAACAAGAACACCAUUAACAUGGGUUUAAUUCAGUACAAAAAAUUCAAAAUCAAUACUCAAUAUAAAUACAAAAAUUUAAUAAUUUUCUAGUCAUUAUCCAAAGCAAAACACAAUUAAACAUGAAGAAUCGAUAAUAUUAACUAAAAGCACUCAGAUUUCGACUAAUUCAAUGAAGAAUGAUGCAAUUUUUGUUAAAAUCGAAGAGCCCCAACACAACAAAAAAUAGAACCAAAAAAAUAUACAAAUUAAAAUGCAUCUAAAACUAUUUGAGGAAGAAGAUUAAACUUAUUUGAGCAAGAGAAACUGAAAAUUUUUGACUUGGGGAGCAAGAAUCGAGCAAAAUAUAUUUUUUUAAAAAAUAUGAAGAAAAAUUGAGAGAAGAGUAUUUGAGGAGAGAUAGAAGGUGUUGAAUUUAUUAAAUGAAUUUAAAAAAUGUUUCAAAAUUUAAUAAAUAUAAAAAGGGACCAUAUUGUAUUAUUUACAAAGUUGUAUUUUAUCUCCAACUUUUAAAAAUCUUAAAGAGAGGCCCAUGAUCCCACAGUGAAAAAGAAAUUUGGUGGGUAUUCUUUAAAUUAUGUUUUCAAAGUGGGCAUUUUGCCAAAUCCCCUCAAGUUAGUGCAAUGUUUGGAAAUGCUACUUCAUAGAUCGUGUUUUUCCUCUUUUGAUAAAAAGUUUUCCAUGUAAACUUUAGGUAUUAUUUAUCUUUUUGUCGAUAAUUGAUUCAACCGAAAAAAAUUGAUACUAGAUAGACGUGUACACGGAUGUUGGGGUUUCAUGUUUUUCUUACUGUUUAUUGGGUUUUUUCUCCUUUAUCUGCAAACUUUAUAAUUAUGGUAUUAUUUAUGAAUUUGUUUUCUUUGUGAGAUGAUUUUUAAAGGAGAGCUUACUUAAAAAUCUUAACAGACUUCUGAUCUAAAGGUACAAUCUUUUUUGGUUUUGGUGGAGAGCUUUCUUGAGAAUCUUGAUGGUUUUCUAAUAUAAAAGUUCAAUUUUUUUUUGAUUUGUGAGGAUGUUUGAUUCUUGAUAGGUUUCGCAUUGUAAUGUCCAAUCCUUUUUUUUAAACUUUUGCUACUGUUGGAUAAGCAUGUCUACCAAUGAUGGGACUUCAUGUGCCUAUGUUGCCAUAUUAUUUUAAUGUGUUUCUCUUCGUGUUUGGAUUUAUUAUACUUGAGUCAAGGUCUUUCGAAAACAACCUCUUUAUUUUUUUGAGGCAUUGAUAAAAUUUGCGUACACUUUACCCUCUCAAAAUCUCAUUUGUGAAAUUUAACUGAAUAUGUUAUUGUUGUUGGCUUUAUCAUUUGUGAAAUUUUACUGAAUAUGUUAUUGUUGUUGGCUUUAUCAUUAACCUUUAUUACCUUUAGUAUGCAGAGAUGAUUGAGGAGAUUAUUGAUUUGUCUUUUUAUUUUGUGCUUGUAAUUUGUAGCAAUAGAGUCUUAGAAUAAAGAUUUAUUAGUAAUAUAUUAUAUUAUUAAGAAUUGUUUCAAGUUAACUAGAUAUUGAUCAUGUGAUUGUUAUAUACUAUCUUAGAUCUUUUUGUUAAAAACCUUUUUAACUAAUAUUAAAAUUAAUGAGUGUUUUGACUUAAAAUUUAAAAUAUCGGGUAAAUAUCUACUAAUAUUUUUGAAGUCGGAUAUUUAAGAGGAGAGUGUAUUCUUAAUGUCACAAAACAAGAAAAUAAUAAAGAUUAUGUUUUUGUCUCGAUUGAAAUGUCAAAUAACAUAUACAGUGAGAUAACAAGGUUAAAUAAAGAAAAUAAUAAAGUUCAAAAAUAUUAAUUACUUCAACUUUUUGACAUAAGCAAUCAGGAUCUCAAGAUCUAAACGAGUAGUAACUUUAAUUUGAAAUUAAAAAAUGAAAAAACUAUGCUACAUAGUAAACAUUAGUUCAUAAUUAUCAUAUCUAAUCAAUGUAAACAUGGGUUGUGGUGCAGCGGAUGAAGCUGCUCCACCAUUAAUCACAGGUCGAGGGUUUGAUCCUGAGCAUGAAGAAAACUCUAUUGGGAGCGCUACCCCCUGAAUGGGGCCCUACCCAGCGCGAAUCCAGAUUUGUCGGGCUCCAAUGUGGGUACCGGACACUGGAUGAGAAACCGAAAAAAAUAUCUAAUCAAUGUUGAAAAUAAUUAAAAUUUAUAGAUAAGUUCUAUAAGUUCAGCUCUCUCUCUCGCCAGUGUUCAAGGAAGAGUGAUAUGGAAAAAAGCGACAAGGCUCCGCAUCAUGUGUUACGCGAAAUGUGAAGCGAUGCGAGCGCAUCAUUGAAGUGAAUCAGUGAAAAAGAAGAAGAAGAAGUCCCAGUAGUGGUACUCGCACAGUAAAGAAGAAGAAGUUGUAGCAGUUAACUUCAAAGUUAACCUAAGAAAAUUGCAGCAGUGGCAGUGACAAUCACCGCAGUAGACUCUUUAUUUAACUUAAAAUUGACCCUAAAUAUAAAAUCAACACGAAGUAACUCUUUCUAAAAUUUAAAAUUGACCGUAAAGUUAAAAUCAACAUGAUGCGCUCACAUCAGUCAUACGCAGUGAAAGGGCUUGCAUCACUUCGCAUCAUCACAUUAUGCAACGAUACAAGCACAUUCCCGAACUAUGCUCUCGCCACUCUCCUCUCUCUAUAUGUCCCCCAUCUCUCUCUCUCUCUCUCUCUCUCACUCACUCACUCUGCCUACCUGUCCUCUCUCAUUCCUUUUUUAUUUCAUUUUUUAAAUACAAUUGUGUUUUUUUUUUAAAAAUCAAUCAUUAUUUUUUUAAAAAUUCAUAUAAAUUGUUUUUAAUUAUAUGUUUUGUACCUUCAUAUAUAACUAUAUUAUUUUUUAAUUCAGUCAUUAUUUUUUUAAUUCAAAUAAAUUGUUAGUAAUUGUAUAUUAUGUGCCAAUUGUAUAUUCAUAGUGUAUAAGUUGUAUAUCAAUUGUAUAUUUGAAUUUAAUGUAUAAAUCAUAUAUGUAUAAUUCAAUUAUAUAAGUCAUAUAUGUCAAUUAUAUAAGUCGUAUAUGUAUAAGUUGUCAAUUGUAUAUGUAUAUUUCUAUAUAUAUAUAUAUAUAUAUAUAUAUAUAUAUAUAGAGAAUAUAUAGUGUAUUUAUAUAUAUAUAUUUUGUAGAAUAUAUAUAAAUAUAAUUAUGCAAAGUUUAAUCAUGGCUUUGUAAUUAUGGUCUAAAUUUUACCUAUUUGUGAUGUUUGCUGGAAAAAAUUAACAAACUUGAAAAUUUGAAGAGAAUAUUUUAAGAAAAUUUGACAUUGGGUAUCAAGUUGGAUAUAUACAAAGGAUAAAUUACGUGACAGAGACAAUAUUUGUAUGUAAUUAAAUUACAAUUAGCAACUAAGGUUUAAAUUAAAUAGCAAAUGUAUAUAUUUUUGAUGUUUUAUAUAUUUUUCAUAUGUAUACAUAUUCAGUUAUAUAGUUCUAUUCAAUAGUCAUAUGUAUAUGUAUUUGAUAUCAUGUAUAUUUUUAUAUGUAUUUACAUAAAUAUAUUUGAUCCUCACAGAAUAAAUACUAACAAAGUGUAGCUACAAUUAUAAUUAGCCUAAGCGUAGGUAAAGGGCUGAAUUACGCCUAAAUAUUAGGUUGUUUCUGAAAUUUUCUCAAAUAGAAAUAAGGAAAAAUUUCACAAAAACAGAACCUAAGCUAUCUAAAUUAUUAGAAAUUUUAUGUACUUAAUAAUAAUUAUAAAUAUCUUUUAUUUAUAUUCUCUCAAAAUUAUGAUGUAUUUUUUUCGGUAACCAUGAUUUCCAUUUCACCAAAAAAAAUAUGUCUUUACAAAAUCAGUAUGAUUGCUCAUAAAUCACACUCUCUAUCUAUGAACUACUCAAAUACAUACAAUUUAAAAUAAAUUACACAGUUGCACCUAUCUCUAUAUAUUCAAUGAUUAAAAUUUAGCUUUGCUAGGUGCUUCUUCCAUCUGGUCACAUUUGCUCCCUUUGUAUGUAUGUGAAUUAUAAUAUCUCUACAUAUCUUGUCACUCAAUAGGUCCCAUUCUGAAAUUUGAGAGUAUUUCUUGCUCUCCAAAUGCCAUAUAUCAUCAUAACAAAAACAGCUACAAGAAUUUUUCAGUGGCUAGAUUUCAAUUUCACACCUGUUAUCAACUAUCUAUCUCAAUAUUUCAGCUUCCUAUUCUUCUUGUAAUCCCCAGCCAACAGAGCAAUCUACCCCACAUGUUCUUUGUGAAGUUGCAUUCAAAGAACAAGUGGUUAAAAAGUUCAUCAGUUGCUCCACAGAAUACAAAAGUUUUGAAAACUUGUAUACCUAUUUUGAGUAGUCUAUCUACUGUUGCUAACCUUCUCUGCACAGCUAAUCAAAAAUUAAAUUUGUGACUUGGUUGGAGAUAAGGUUGCAAGAUCAGUUUAUUCCAUGCCAUUUUAGGAUGCUAAGGUAUUUGUAACAGGUAUAAUCUCUUGAUCUGCUAUUGAAUUUUCCUCCCUGUUGAAUCUGUUGUAAUCUGUUAUUCAAAUCUCUUUGUAGUUGUUGCAGCUCAAUAAUCAACUUUCUUGUAUUCAAUAUUUUCCUAAUCACCCAGGAUACAUUCUUAGGUGUAGGAAUGUGUUCCAGAGCCUGAUGCUUUAUAUAGUAGCAGUAAAUCCAUCUUAUCCAUAGACAGUCUUUCUUCAGUUCAAUUGCCCACAAGUGUUUUAUCAUAGUAGCCUUAUUCUACAAGAUCAUGUUAAUGACAUUUAGUCCACCUGCAGCUUGGGGUAGACAGACCUUCUCCCAAGAAACAAGAGCCUUCUUGGAUAUUUCAGCAUGUCCAGUCCAUAGGAAUGACCUGCAUACUGCCUCUAUACAUUUUACCACCUUUUUUGGAAUCAAAAACCCCUGAGUCCAAUAGGAUUGCAUGCCAAAGAUCAUAACUUUUAUCAAUUGAAGUCUUCCUGCAUGUGUCAGUAGUCUUGUAGACCAGCAGACUAUCCAAGCAGUGAUCUUCUCCACUAAAGGCCAGCAUAAUGCUAUAGAGAGUUUCCUAGCAGCUAUAGGAACUCCCAAGUAUUUGAAGGGAAAGGAUCCAACACAAUAGUCAUUUUCUUCCAGGAUCUCCUUCUUUAAGUGACCAGAAAUACCAACUAAAUACAAAGAACUUUUGUCCACAUUAACCUGUAGUUUAGAAGCUUGAGACUGAAAGCUUGAGUUAGCAAUCUAAUGGAUUGCUUUUCAACCUUGCAGAACAAUAGAAGAUCAUCAGCAAAAUAAAUAUUAUUGCCCCCACUUUUUUGCAUCUGGGGUAGAACUUAAAGACUUUAUUCCUAGCCAACUAUUUCAACACUUUAUUCAGGUAUUGCAUAGCAAUAACAAAUAGAUAUGGGGACAUUGGGUCACCCUGUCUAAUACCUCUCAUACCCAGGAAUGGUUUAGUAAGGCCCCCAUUAAUAGUCAAUGAGUAAGAGACACUAGUGACACAAGUUAGGAUCCAAUAAAUUAUGAUGUAUUUAUUGCCCCCUAAAUCAUGUCAAAAUUUAGAAAGAUUUCUUUUUUAAAAAGUAAAAAAGGCGUUUACCUUUUUAAAAACACAACACAAUGGUAGGCAACAAAAUUCUUUUCCCCCUUCUCAUUCUCCAAUCCCUUCCGGCCGCAUCAUAUCCCCCUUUUUUUUUCUUUGACAAAUCCAAAUUAAUACUGAGAAUGUGAAUUUUGAGACUUUUUUUAAGACAAAUUCAAAUUUACACGACACAAUGAAACUCCGUGAACUCUGUUAAUCUAUUUUGUCGAAGAAAAGAAAAUCUGACACUUCUAGAUGAAAAGAUGUUGUUUCGAAAAGAAAAGUUGUUGAAGUCAAAAUGAGAGACAUCUUACCAAAGGUUUAAUCAUUUUUGUAUUUGAGCAUUUUAAUUCGAGAUACAUUUUUUAUUAAUUGAAGUUACAUAAUUAAGGUUAGUUCUAUAUGCAUGUUCCAGGUGCAUAUUCUUGUAUCUGUACGACUGGUUUUUUUUUUUUGAUAUGUGUCUUUUCAUAUACAUGUAUAUAGUUAGAAGAUUUCUGUAUGUAUCACUUUUAAAAAAUGUAUCUCUGCACCUGAUACAUUUUUUUUAUUGUGUAUACAUUUGUAUUUCAAAUUUCAUUUUUUAUACUGAUACAUCCUGUCUUACCAUGAAACUUUUUUAACCAAUAUUUUUAUCUUUUUUUUCAAGGUUUAAAAUUCACUGCGAAAAAUUAAAAAAGAAGAAUAACACCAAGAAAAAAUAGAGAAAAGCUAAAGAAGAAUGGAUCUGAAAGUUGAAUAUGGAGAAGAAUAUUUCAAAAAAACAUUAUUAGCUAAAUAUCGUUUUUGGGAGAUAUUUAGAUGUGAAUUAGAAGAUCUGCAAUAAAUUGGUCCUUAAAUGGGUUAAUUACCUUUACUUUUCAUAAUUACAGUGAAUUAGUUAUUCUUAAGAUGUAACAUCAAUCAUGUUUCUCUUUUAAUAUUAUGUAUCUGAAAAAUUUAGAAUCAAAAUUUUAUGAAAUUUUAGAAAAAGCCAGAAUAGAAUGUUAUUAUGAAUAAACAAAUUGAGAUUUAUUUAAAACACACUACGAAUAACCUAAAAUAGCCCAAGUUCAAAAUUUUGGUACAGAAUAGCCCAUUCCAACGCUUUAGACUACAAAUUUUGUAUUGAAUAACCCGUAAAAUGUCCCAUUAGAACAGCUUCAAAAUGUCAAACUCUUUAUUUUCCUUUUGAAAAUUUCACUCCCAAAUAAUAUCCCAAAAUCUCUAAAAUUAUCUUUCCAAUUCUCGCUAUCAGUAUUGCUAUGCUGAAUUCGACAUUAAGGGUGUUCGACAUGAAGGAAAACACUUUUCUAUUUUCUCGUAUUCGAUUGUUAAAAUUUUUGAAAAAUACUGAAUUCAACAUGAUUUUUCUUUUCUUUUACUUUUCUCACAAAAAAAUAAAAAAUAAUUUAAUUUAUAUUUAUGGUCAAAUACAACUUCAAAAAUUUUAAUUUUUCACCCCCCCCCCCCCCCCACCCCAGCCAAAAUAAUAAAUAAAAUAUUUCCUAAAUUCCCAAUCAUCUUUGGGAUUUUGUGUUAGAUAAAAAUAUUUUUAAUUUGCAUACCCGAACACAAGAAAAUAAGUUUCCUAUAAAUACUUUUUCAAAGCGAACACACCCUACAUUUUGAAUGUUUUGACAAUUCUUGCAUAAAUAAUUUUUGUAUAAAAAUAUAUAUCAUAGAGAUUUCAAAAAAAAAA
RNAcentral lists this long non-coding RNA (47289 nucleotides) under Capsicum annuum. Its description in RNAcentral is "long non-coding RNA (CANN_LNC009613)". The record is from RNAcentral. Lineage: Eukaryota; Viridiplantae; Streptophyta; Magnoliopsida; Solanales; Solanaceae.